RNAcentral lists this long non-coding RNA (75364 nucleotides) under Salvia miltiorrhiza (redroot sage). RNAcentral describes it as "long non-coding RNA (SMIL_LNC005164)". Lineage: Eukaryota; Viridiplantae; Streptophyta; Magnoliopsida; Lamiales; Lamiaceae. The record is from RNAcentral.
UUAAAAAAAAACGGUGAUGCAAAAUCCUUCAUGGAUUAAUAGAUAUAAACGUUUUUGUGAAGUCUACCAAUAGUUGACAGAUUCUGUCAAGGAUUUUUCAAAAUAUCUUUAAAAUAGCAAACAUCAUCCAAAAGACAUGAAAUUUUGCAGAAACGAAAUACACAUAUCAUAGAUAAACAUACUAAAAUUUCAGAGCCAUCAAGCAAUGAAAACUCAUCGAAACAUAAGCUUGAAACUGCUGUAAAAUUUUGACAGAAUUCCAGUUUUAAUCUCGUUCAACAAUUAUCAUCCAUAAAUUGUAAAUCAAUUAGCAUGCUCAUGUGAUAUCGUAGAACACAUAUACGCAAUAAUAUUCAUUAUGCAACGUCUCAAACUUCACGAAUUUAAAUAAUCAUACUCUAAAAAAUUUAUACAAUUUUCGUGCUUGGAAAAAUACGAAUUUAAUAUAUAUCGAUUCUAGCAUACCCCUAAGCACAAAUAUCAAGUCAAAACGAUCAAACAAAAAUCGAAAGACAAGCUAAUAUGUGAAAAAACGGGGCUGCCCUCAUGGGUUUCAUAGCUACGGUUCGUUCCGUUCUUACUCCCUUCAUUAAACAUGCUCAACAUCUACCCAAGAACAACAUACUAAAAAUUUCACGACGAUCCGACGUCGUUUCAAAAUAAAGUCGAGAAUCGACGUUUUUCGACGUCGACGAAAAUCGAGAAUAAAACCAUCAAAACGUAGGUAGAGAUCUUACCUACUUAGAUACGUGAUCGAAAAGAUAGAUCGGCGCUCGUCUCGGUGCUCAAAUCGGAGGUCAAAAGCUCCAACACCAAAGAAAAUGGUGUUAUGCGUGAAGUGUGUGUGUUUUUAGGUGUUAGUGUGUGUGUUGUGGCUGAUAUCAACGUGAUGUUGUGUGAGUGAGUAAGGGUUUGGGCGGUUGGGGGGUGGUUUUGGUGGGGUAGGUUAGAUAUUUAGUCGUUAAAUAUCUCGUUCGUCGUCUCGUCUCGUCUCGUCUCGUUUUAACGACUAACUACCCAUACUCUUCGUUACUCGCCCUCUCAACUCUUACUCACUUUCAUUACACUCGUAAUUCUAUAUAGAUAUAGAAAACGCAAGCUCGUUCUCGAAAUUCUGAUAAACGAGCUCGGUUCGUUUAUCGAGAAAUCCCGAUUUAGUAUUCACUCGUCGUCCAAAAAUAAAAACUUUCAUUAUUGGACUCGUAUCGAAAAACUAAGAAUAUUUCUCGACGACGUGCACGUAAGAUUUUGAAAGUCGACAAAAAGACGAAAUAGCCGUAUUUUACUAUUCAUCGUCAAAAAGUCAAAAUUUUCAAAAACGUCUUAACGGACUCAGAUUUCACUUCCGAGUUCACCGUUCUCAUUCAAAUAAUUAUCUAGAAUUAUUCAAAUACUCAAACUCAAAUACGGAUAUAAAAUCUCACAUCAUUCUCACAUCAUCGAAAGAACAUCUCAACAUCUUAAAAAAAUAACAACAAAACUUCAUAUAACUCUUCAUCUCUUUACAAAGUAAAUCAAACAAGGGAUCUAAACCUUAAUUACUCAAACUCAAGAAAUUAAACACGUCAUCAAAAGCCCGGGUAUUACAAUAGUGAGGGCUCUGCUCAAUGUUUGCGCGUAGGUGAGACCUCCUUGACUUGCUAGGGAAAUCGCUAUCUCGUGACGCAGUCCGUUUCUGAACUUCUCUGCGCGUUUCUCAUCACUGUCUACUAACGUCGGAGCAUAUCUUGAUAGCUGAUUGAAGGCCCUGUCGUACUCAGUCACAGUUCCCAUUUUCUGUCCCAGAUUCCAAAAUUCAUUCUGUUUCUUCUGUCGGUAACAUCCCGAUAUAUACUUCUCAUACAAUUCAACCUUGAACUCUUCCCAUGUGAAAUCCUCCCACUGUUCGUCAGUCAUUGUCCGCCUAACUGACUCCCACCAAAAGUCAGCUUCGUCCACCAACUGAUAAGUUGCGCAUGACACUUUAUCCUCAUCAUCACAACGUAUGUAGUUGAAGAUCCGUUCUAUUGCCCUAACCCAUUUUUCGGCAUCCCCGGGUUCACCCAAUCCAUCAAACGUUGGGGGUUUUUCCUUACGAAACUUUUCCUCGGCUGUGCGAUUCGGUGCUACUUGUGGAACAGGUUCUUCGGGGAUGAAUCCCCUACCGCGCCCACAGCCACGACCAUGUCCUCCACCGCGUCCUCUUGGUGCACCUUCCAUUCUGAUUGACGGACGAGAAUCAGCAGACGAAGAGACUCAUUCGGUAUACAUACAUACGAGACAUAUCGCUUCUAAGGUAUAACCAUGCGAAAGGUUAACUCUAUGUGGGAACUGAUCUCUCUUGGUGGAGCAACUUAAGUGAAACCUUAAUCUCAUGACAUUUCUUCUACGUUGUAACAUAUCUAUGCUAAACGUUGCUAUCUUAUCAUUCCUUACUUAAAUCGACCAAGCGGAGCUUUCACGACUAACAUUUCUAAAGUAUCCUUGGGUAGUAUCAAACGGUUUGUAAGAGGACUCAUCAUUCAUAUCGUACAGACAGUGAACCUAACAUGAUAACAUAAAACUUUUCAUUCAUUCAAUCAUUUGUUUCUUUUGAAACCUUAAAACAUAUGGACAAUAAAUGCCCCUUUCAUAAAAAUUUUCUUAAGCCGAAAAGAUUAAUGGAAUCUAACUCGACCAUAAAUUCAUUGAUUCGUUAAGGGCUCGAUAGUCCCAAACACGACAUACAUACAUACAUUGGUUAUAUGAGUCAAAGGCUCAAAAUAACAAUAUGAAAGCGAUAAGCAAUUCAUAUAACAUCAUUCAUUGAAAGCGCGCACUUCUUAAAAACUUUGAAAGCAUUUAAAAUCAUUGAAACUUUUAAGUCGUACCUUUUUGUUGCGGCAGUGUGACGGCGAGCUGAGGGUCAACAAAUUUUUCUCAGAAGUCUAGAGAUACUAAUCUAGACUCGAUGUUAGAAGCUUAUGGUUAUCAGAGACAUGAAAGAAAACUUAUGCUCUGAUACCAUUCUGUCACACCCCAAUUCUUGAAUGAAUAAAUAUAAUCGAGAUGCGACUAAAAUCAUAGAAAUAAACAAGGAAAAACCUUAGUUAAAACCCGAAUAAAAUAACAAGUCGGGCUAGUCCCCUUUGGAUCACAAGUUUAGUGUCAUGCUUUUGAUAACCCAUAUUUAGAAUGAAAUACUUGUGAAAUAAUAAUCUCGGCUCAACAAAAUAUAUAGAAGUUGAGAGUCUAAGCUCGAUAAGAAACAUAAUUCAGAAUUUACAUAAAGGUCUUAUGUUUAGAGAAACAAGAGACAAAAGAGCUAGUGCAACAGCGGAAGACAAAAUACGGAGUUGAACCCUAGCCUCAGCUCCGCCCCGUCAGCACCGACCAAUCAACCUGAAAAACAUUUGAAAGUAUUUUUGGGCUAAGUACUAAUGUACUUAGUGGGCUAGCAUUUUUAUAAACAUUUCAUAAUUAUAAGAGCAGUUUAUCCAAUUAUUUGACAUGACUUAGAAGGUUUUUAAGUGAAUAACUUCUAAACAUGUUGAAACAUUUUAUAAUAUUGCGCGCAUUUGUCACACUCCCUUUCCGUUACUCGCUGUGAUCCCGGACCUUUUAGCCACCGACGGAUCCAUUACUCCUGCUUACUUGAACUGAGGGCGUAACCCAGUCAAGUUCCCAUUUGGGACCCAAUGCUCCGGAACACAUCCCGUCGAGCACCCUUAUAACGCCUCAUACAUGAUUAGUGCCCGAAUGGAGAUCAACCCACCGAGUCAGCUAAUAGGUGUACACAAUUCUCAAAUAACGUGUUAGGUCAAGAGAGAACCUCGAUCGAUUCAUUAUUGCGAGCCUUAAACAGAGCAGAGUGCACAAAAAUAUUUUAUCGGAUAAACAGUUUUCAUUUCAUUGAAACAUUUAAGCUUAAUAGCUAAACCAUACAUUUGGAAAAUAAGCCCACCUGAUUAGGCAAUGCCUGUCGUUUAUUCUUAACUCUGAAUUGGUAUAGUAGUGCUACUCCUCACGAUCCACAAGCCUACAAGAAAUCUAUAUCUUAAUAGGUCUCCUGAUCUAAUCUUAAGUCAUAGUGUAGUGCUUAUCUUUCUAUGAUUCACUUAGCCGGGUUUUUAAAAUUUAAUAAAUAAAUAUUUGAAAANCAUGAAUUAGUGCCCGAUGGAGAUCAACCCACCGAAACAACUAACAAGUGUACACAAUUCUCAAAUAACGUGUUAGGCCAUAAGAGAACCUCGAUCGAUCCAUGAAUUGCGAGCCUUAAACAGAGCAGAGUGCACAUAAACAUUUUAUUGGAUAAACAGUUUUCAUUAAAUAAACAAUUUGCAUUUCAUUGAAACAAUUAGCUUAAUAACUCAAACUAAUUUGUACAUAUGAAAGUAAGCCCACCUGUAUAGGCAAAGCCUGUCGUUUAACCUUAUCUCUGAAUCGGAAUAGCAGUGCUAAUCCUUCUGAUGCUCAAAGCCUACAAGAAAUCUAUUCUCAAUAGGUCUCCUUGUAUCUAAUCUUAAGUCAUGGUGUAGUGCUUAACAUUCUAUGAUUCACUUAGCUGGGUUUUCAAAAUUUAAUAAAUAAUUGAAAACAUUUCUCUUGAGUUAAGAACACCAACAAUAUUCUUACUCGUCUUUCUUUUGAAAUCGGAGUUUUAAAUAACCAAUUAAAACAUGAUGCAAUGCAUGACUCCAGAAACUGAACACGAACAGCAGCCUUAAGUUCAUGCAACUCUAACAUUUACACAAAACUCAAAGAAAACCCUUAACAUGCAUCUCCAAACAUCAUACAAAGUACAGCCAUCUCUACAAAACAUACAACUUAACAUGCUUGAUAAACACAAUAUUUAACAAAGAACAAACCUAGCAUGCUCCUAAAACACAAUCACAAGUUACAACGAUUAAACAAAAAUUGAAGAACGAUUAAUGACGACGAAGAACACAGCCGGGCUGCCCUCCUGGGUUCCCUAGCUAUGGUUCGAUCCAACCUUAACUUCUUCAUUAAACAUGCUUGACAUCUACCCAAGAACAACAUACUAAAAAUUCACGACGAUCCGACGUCGUUUCAAAAUAAAGUCGAGAAUCAACGUUUUUCGACGUCGACGAAAAUCGAAAAGAAAACCAUGGAAUCAUGGGUAGAGAUGUUACCUACGUAAAAACGUGAUCGAAAAGAUGAUCGGCGCUCGUCUCGGUGCUCAAAUCGGAGCUCAAAAGCUUGAAGAAGCUUUAAUGGAGGGAGUGUGUGUUCUUGGUGUUUGUGUGUGAGAGAGAAAAGGUGGUGAGUGAAUGGGUGGCUGCUAACAGCCGUGAGUUUGUAGAUAUAGGGAGUUGGGCGGUUUGGGGGGGUGGUUUUGGUGGGGUAGGGUUAGAUCUUUUAAGAUAUUAUCCCACUUAGUAAUUACCCACAUUCUUCGUUACUCGCCCUCUCGACCUCUACUCAAUUUCAUCACACUCGUAAUUCUAUAUAAAUAUAGAAAACGUAAGCUCGUUCUCGAAAUUCUGAUAAACGAGAUCUACACGUUUAUCGAGAAAUUCCGGUUUACUAUUCACUCAUCGUCCAAAAAUAAAAACUUUCAUUAUUGGACUCGUAUCGAAAAACUAAGAAUAUUUCUCGACGACGUGCACGUAAGAUUUUUGAAAGUCACCAAAAAGACGAAAUAGCAGUAUUUUACUAUUCAUCGUCGAAAAGUCAAAAAUUCCAAAAACGUCGUAACGGACUCAGAUCUCACUUCCGAGUUCACCGUUCUCAUUCAAAUAAUUAUCUCAAAUUAUUCGAAUACUCAAACUCAAGCAAUUAAAAGCUUAAGGCCCAAAUAAAAUUAAAGCUCACUCAUAAAAAUAGUUGAAUGCUUAAUUAAAUAAAUAUGCAAAGCACAUAAAUUUAAUUACUAAAUUUACAAAUGUUUUUGUAAAUCAUUUUUGUUGGAAUUAAAAUAAUUUCUUUUUCUCAAUCCGGCGUGAAUCAUCUUAAAUUUAAGUUCAAAAAUUAUUCUAAACUUAAUAUUAAUGGGCGGGGUAUUACAUGAUCCAAGCCAUUAAUAUAGAAAAUGAUUUAAGUUUUAUCUUGUCAAUUUGAUUUUGCUUAUAUUUGAAAAACAGACAUUGCUUGAAAGUAAUUGACUUAUUAUUGUGACUUUUGGUUGUAAUAUGUGUUAGUUUGUUUACUUUAAUUGUCGUUAAUUGUUGCCUAGGUUGGGAAUUCAUUUAUUAGAGGUGUUCUUUUUUUUUGAUAUAAAAUUACAAGUGUCAAUAAUUUUUUUUUAUUCUAAAUAAUCACAAGUCAUGAGUUGGUGGAGUGGAUAAGACCUCGUCCUUUCUUCCAAAGGUCAAGAGUUUGAAUCCUAUUGCUCACAUCCUAAAAAUUUGAUUUUUUUUUUCAUAAUCUGCCUCAAUUAAAUCGGUUAAUUCGGUUAACUGAUUUUUCGAACAAAUUCAGAAAUUGCGUAUUAAUCGGUUAAUACGGUUUAAUCGAAUCGGUUAAUCAGUUAACUGAAGUAUUAACUGGUUCGGUUACCGGUUAGAAAAAUGCCCCUUCCACGUCAUCGUCCGGACCCGAAAGUAUAAGUUCAGGGUAUUUUACAACUUCUAUGAAAGUUUCGGCUAUUUUCUAUAUUUAUAAAGUUAGUGCCAUUUUAACAAAUUAGUGUUAAUGGGCAAAAAUGCCCCAUCCCUUAUGUUUUUUUUUUGAAAAAUGCUCUCUUUUAUCAUAGAAAGCAAUCUAUGCCCUAAAAGGCUAAAUUACCCUUAAUUGGGUCAACAUCAAAUGUGCAGUGCUGACACUUCUUACACACUCUUACACAUUCAUCACUUUCAAUGCAUUUUUUUACAAUAAUUAGUGAUAUUGACCGAAUUCAUGGUUUUGAGUGCAUGCAUGCAUGCGAAAUUUUCAUUUUCCUUUUUUCUUUUUUGCCCUUUUUUCUGGGACAUCAUUCAUUAUUAAUGUGAAGUGGAAAUUAAUGUGUCCGAGCGUGUGUAUGUAUGUAUAUAUAUUUUUGAACGUUACUAUUAACUUAUAUAUAACACUAUAUAUAUUCAUAUCUUUAAAUUGAAAAAACGACCGGACACAUUGUGCAUGGUCUCUCAAAAAUAAACUUGCAAUAUAAUAAUUCAUACCAAGCAAUACUAUUCUCCAAGCAACACUAAUUCAAUAAUUAACACUUAAACAAUAUAAUUAAAUUAAAUUCAGCAAAAUAGUAAAAAUUAAUAUAAAGAUACAAAUAGAUAAAAUAGAGAAUUUUAUGUCGUUAUAGGAUCUGUCCGGCCGGUGAAGUGCCCGGACAAAUGUGUCCGGCCGGGUACAUUUCAGGUAAACAAUGACCCAGCCGGACACAUUUUUCCGGGAAAAUUACCGGCUGGACAGAUUUUAUUUAGGCAUAAAAUAUUCUAUUUUAUUCAAUUUCAUAAAAAAAAAAAACUGUCAAGAAGCUAAUAAUAUAUAUGCGUGUGUAUCUAUCUUAAAAUUUUUAUAUUUUUNCCCUUUAAUCUCUUAAUUUGAAUUUUCUUUUACCAAAUUCUUUCUCUUCCGUUUAAUACUUAUAUUCCUUAAAAUCCUUAACAACCGUUUACUUAUUAUUAUUUUUUUAUUUUUUCUUUUUUUGGUGGGUCCCACUUGUAAUUUUUAGGCGGGUGUUGUUAACAACCUUGGCAUAUGAAUCGUUUCUUCCCCUUUCCAACAUCACAGACACCAUUGAAGUUGCAGACGCCAUUGAGAGACGAAGCUAAUCUACUCCGGUGGGAUUGAUCAAAUCGACAGAAAGAUAAGUUUGCAUGAUCGUUUUUCUGAAGUUUGGAAUGUGGACAGUAGCAAUAAGUCAUGCAAGCAAGGGUUUUUACAACAAGUUUCUUAUGUCGAUUUUUCUUGAAGUAUGUUAUAUACAUAUUAUUGAUUGUGAAUUUUUUUUUGUUUUCUUGUUGUCUGUGAUGCAGCAUGUUGACAUUCGUUUUUAAUUUAUGGGGUUUAUGGGUGAAAAAUGAUGAUUCCGGGAAACUAAUGUACGAUGGCUACAAUUCUGUAGAAAUUGAAGAAUCCUAUGAGAAAAUGACUUAUGAGCGCUUAUUAGAUGAAUUUGCUAAUUGCUAUGGUAGUAAGCCUAAGAAAGUUUAUGCCUUAGAUGAUGAUUACACUGUCGAGAAGGGCUUAGUUCUCCUUAGAGACUCACAGCAUUGUAAGAAAGUUUUUGACUACUUUGAUAUAAUUGGACAAGCAGAGGUCUUAUUAUUUGCUGACCAUGAAACAGAUCCCAUGCCCCAAAUUAUACCUUUAUGUAUGUUUGAGGAAGAAGAUGGUAGUGGUGAUUUAGAGGAUGUGCAUGAUUUGAGGAUUGCUAAUGAUGGUGAGGUUACUGAUAAGGUAGAGACUGUGGAGGGGGUAGGGACAGUAGUCAGUGGGGUAGAGACUAAUGCUGAGGAGGGAGUGCCAGUAGACAGUGGGGUAGAGACUGAGACUGUCAUUGGGAUAGAGGACAUUAUGGUAAAUGAAAGGAGGGAGGAUGAAGAACAAGAAGAUAAUGUUAUAAGAGUUAAUGAAGUGGGAAGUGAGGAUUGAGAUGAUGACCAAAGAGAUGACCUAGGUUUUGGUAUUGCCUCAGAGACUGACUCCAGCAUAUAUAGUGAUGAGCAGUCUGAUAGUGAUGAUGAAUUGGUUAAUGAUGAAGAUGUUUGUGCAUUAGAAGUUGGGGAGCAGGGUAAGUUUGAAAUUGGUAUGACCUUUGCAGGAGCAAAGGAUUGUAGAGAUGCUAUCAAUACCUAUGCUGUCAAAUUUGGGUACAAAUUAGUUAUCAAGAAUGAACCAAAGAGAAUUAGAGUUAUUUGCACUAGUGAGAGUUCUUGUCCAUUUGUGAUGCUGGCUUCAAAGAAUGAGGAGGCAGAAAGGCUAGUUAUCAAAACAUUGGUAGCCCAACAUACUUGUACUAGGCAGAGGGAGGUGUCUAGUUGCUCUCAAUCAUACCUUGCCAACUAUUUUAAGGAGGCAUUGUAUAGAAAUCCUAAGUUUUCAUCAAAGGAUAUGCAAGGGCAGGUGAAAGAACAUUUAAAAAUUCAUGUUAGCUUGAUGAAGUGCAAGAGAGCUAAGAGAAUAAUUCGGACAAAGAUGAAAGGCAGCUACAUGCAAGAGUUUAAUAUGCUUUGUGGUUAUAUUGAGAAGGUAAAGGAGACUAACCCGGGUUCAAAAAUGGAGAUGCAACUGUCUAGAGAUGAACUAGCAAAUGGCAGAAGAGUUUUCAAACGAAUUUUGUCAUACUUGAUGCAUGUAGGAAGAACUGGCUUGGGNGAUGUAGGCCAUUGAUAUCUUUAGAUGGUUGUCAUCUAAAGGGGGUUACAUUUGGGGUGCUUCUCACAGCUGUUGGGAAGGAUGCCAAUGAUGGAGUCUGCCCCAUUGCAUGGGCAGUGGUGAAUAAGGAGAACAAACACAACUGGAAUUGGUUUUUAAGUUGGUUGAAGAGUGAAUUACAGCUUGGUGAUGGAUCAAGGGUGACUAUUAUGUCUGAUAUGCAGAAGGUUAGUAUUUCUUCAUGUUAUGUCUUAGUGUUUUAUUGAAAACUAUAACUCAUGAAAACUAAUUUCACACUUCUAACAGGGCUUGAUGGAGGCAGUAAAUGACCAAAUACCAGAUGCUGAGCAUAGAUGGUGUGCAAGACACAUCUAUGGUAACUGGAGUAAGAAGUGGAGAGGUGAGGAAUUGAAGAAGAGGUUCUGGUUGGCAGCUUGGUCUUCAUUCCAAGAAGAGUACAAGCUGAACAUGGCCAAGCUUAGUUCUAUAAAGAAGCAGGCUGCAGUGGAUCUCCUUCAUUAUCCACCCCAGAACUGUGUAGGGCAUAUCAAAGUGACAGAUGCUGCAUUCACAUGGUAGAUAACAACAUUUCUAAGUCUUUCAAUUCAAGCAUUCUAGAAGCUAGGCACAAGCCAAUUAUCAGUAUGUUAGACGACAUUAGGGUGAUUGUGAUGACUAGAAUAAGGGAUAGAAGAAAUAGUGUGCAUCAGUGGAAGUCUGAUUGGUCUCCUGCAUGCAUGAAAUUGUUUGAGGCAGCUAAAUCUGAAGCAUUGACAUGCAAUGUGAUCUGGACUGGGGAAGAUGGGUAUGAAAUUGGGGAGUUUGAGGACAAACACACUGUGUCAUUGGAUAGGAAAAGUUGUACAUGUAGGAUGUGGCAAUUGACAGGGGUUCCAUGUUGCCAUGCACUAGCUGCAUUAUUUUACUCUUCAUUGGAUCAUCUAAGUGUCAUUUCCAGCUGGUACCAUAAGUCAACCUACAUGAAAAGCUAUGAACACUCCAUCCAGCCGGUUCCAGGCAUGAAAUUCUGGAAUGUUAAAGAAUGUGAUGGAGUAGAACCUCCUCCAGUGGAAAAAAAGAUUGGCAGGCCCAAGAAGAUGAGGGUGAGAGCUCCAAACGAGCCUAGGAAGGGAACCAAACUGUCAAGGGUUGGUCAGCUACAACGUUGUAGCAUCUGUAAGAGCUCAAGUCAUAAAAAAGGACAUUGCCCUCAAAGGCCAAGUGAGGUAUUCACCAAUAUAUAAAUGAAAAUGUUAAUGGUUUUAUUACUUAUUGAUUGACUUACAUACUACUCAGGUGGCACAAGACACUCAAGCUUCAACUUCAGCUUUGCCUACAAAGGUGAAGACAAAGAGGAGUUCUCAAGGCAUGGGCUUGUACAUCAAUACUGAAACUGGAAGGAGUGUUCUAAAUGUGAGAUUUCAAUUAUGAUAACUGUCAGUCUUUAUUCUUCAUUAGCUUAGAUCUACAUUUAUACUAAGACUAUGUUGUUCUAUGCCAUAAAACAGCCCGGGAUGUCUGCUUCACUAGUCAUAAAUGAGGGUAGGUCCAUGGAGCCUGAACCAAACACACGGUUUGCAAUACCAAAUGAAAGUGAAUUGAGGAAGGGCAAGAGAAAACAAACUCAAACAGUGGCUGAUCUAUCAAAGCUUAGGAAGGUGGCCUCAAAGCCAUUUAAGGCUCCACGAGGAAAAAAAGAAGAAGUGGUCCUAAAAAGAUCCCCAAGAGGGAAAAAUAUUGCUUCAACUGUGGAUUCUACAACUACUAGUUGAAGCAUGAUAUUUCUUCCUCAGUUUACAACAGGCCCAAGAAAGUUUUGAUGCUUUUCUUUUGUUUACAACUAUGGUUUUGAAUGAUGGAAGUUUAGACUGUGAUUGAAUAUGUAUGGUUUUGAAUGAUGGCUAUUUGGAUGGUGUUGAAUGAUGGAUAUUUGGAUAGGAACAGUGAAUAUUUAUAGAUUGAAAUAUGUAUGGUUUUAUUCGGAUUUUUGAAUGAUGGAAUGAUAUGGUUAUGUUCAUCUUUUGUUUGAAUCAUAUCCAAAGUUGACCUUCUGCAGAGCUGACCAUAUCUAGAGCUGACUAUCUCCAAAGCUGCCUACUUCGACAGAGCUGACCAAACUCGACAGAGCUGACUUUCACUCGCCAGAACUAGCAAGGCCGACAGAGCUGGCAUUCGUUCAUGCAGAGCUCAAGUUCCAGAGCUACCUACGCCAGCACUGCUCCAGAGCUACCUUCGCCAGCACUGCUCCAGAGCUGGCAUUCCUCUCUUUUGUUCAUUUAAAAGUUAUUCAGCUUUCAUUUUAUGUUUGAAUGAUGGAUUAUUUGUUUACAACAUAUAAUCCAAAAUGUGCUUCAAUUUCAUAUCCAAAACAAAGGGAUACAUGAUCUGCAAUAGAGUUCAUAGAACUUUACAAAGACAUGUUAAACUAGUGCAAAAUAUGCAAAUAACACCCAAGAAGCAAGCAACAUUGCAGUAACUAGUCUAACUUUCUUCUUAAUUUCGUUUGAAUCUGAUUUCAAAGCUUGAACAAAAUCCCAAAGCUUGACAAUUUCCGACUCCAUAUCAGUGGGUACCGAGCUUGAGCUCUCCUUAAUCUUCAUGAGCUUCAACUCAUUGAUAACUUCCUUGGCUCUUUCACUAAUUGGUUCGUCAAGCCAAUAAAAAAAUCCACAGUUCUUCGUCUAAAACACGAAAUUGCAGACAUUUAAAGCAAGAAAGUUCAAAAAAUACAAACUAGUGCAAAAUCACAAACAUACCUUUCAAUUUCGACAUCCAUAAAACCUUCUACCGAGAUUUUCAUCAGUCCACGAUGUCACUAUCACAGUGAUCACUAAUUUCUUAGCAACAAAAACUGCAACUAACACAGGCAAUUGUAGCAAGUAAAAAUUAACCGAGUAUCGUAUCCACAGGGACUGACACAACGAAAUAACUCUAACUAUCUCCUAAACAGACUAANUGAUCAGACCCGUUUUCAGCUCAAAGUUGGUAACGUUCACACGUGGGGGCUCCUGGUAUACAUACUGUGGUAUGAACGCUUCAUUGAUGGCUGGUUGUUUCGGAGCCUCUCUCGUCUCCUGUGCGUCAAGCAGCUUCUUCAACUGCUCUUGCAGAGCUCGAAUUUGGAUUUGCUCUGGAGUAGCCAUCGUAUUAUCCUCAACUUGAUUCUGUUGCUUCUUAAGAUUGCGCAAGGUCUUGUUGAUUUCAGGGUCUAACUCAAGAGAGGAGACUCGUGAGAUCGUGUGUUCAUAUGCAACCUACAGAACACAACUUAUAAAACCAGAAAUAAAUAAACAAUAAACUUGCAGUACUAUUAAGUCCUAUUGGAAAUAUUAAAGUAAAAUCUAAACAAUCCCCGGCAACGGCGCCAAAAGUUGAUCACUAAUUUAUUAGCACAAAAUACCGCAACUAACACGGUGUAAUUGUAGUAUAAACAGCAAUCGGAUAUCGUAUCCACAGGGAUUGUAACACGAAAUCACUUAUCUAUUUCCUACACAAACUUUCACAGUAUGCAAGUAAAACGAAAUUGAAGGUGACUAUUGAACUAAAUUAACUAAUUAAACUAAAGAGCAUAAACACUAUGAUGAUUAACUCAAAUAUAGGGAAAGUCUGACCCUAGGGAUGUAUUUUCACUAAUCAACUAUAUGUAUUCAACCUAUUGAUUCAAUUACCAAUUUUAAUCCAACCCUGAUGAAAGAUCACUAUGUUAAUCACAAGCGUCUCUAACGACCACCUAUGAAUGUAGAUUAAUUAAUCCCUUUUCGCAUUCAAGACUCCAAGGAAUAAAUUAACUCCCAAUAGCACAUAAAGAAUAGCUUCCUAUAGCUUCACCUAUCGCAUUCAAGACUCAAGGCUAACACUAUAUCAUGCAUUCCUGAAUCGGCUGAACAAUUAUCGCAUUCAAGACUCAAACUGAACAGCUAGACAUGUAAAUCAUUGAUCAGAUAAUUCACAAGAGAUUAAGCACCAGGAAUCAUGAAUCACAAGUUGGAGGGCAAAUUGAUAUCAAUAAAUCAAAAACACAUAAUUAAUCAGCUAUAUACAAACCCUAGGUUCAGAUAAAGAAAACUAGCCAGACAUGCUAAAAUAAAACAUAAACAUAAUUAAAUAGAAUGCAAUUAUAAAAACUAAAUGUAUAAAACCCGUAAUAAAACGAUUGUAGCGGCUUGAAUCUUCAAUCUUGAUCCAAGCCUUGAAAACUGGAAAGCUAAAGUAUUCUAAAAGCUAAAAACUGAAAUAUGAAAGCUGGGAACUGAACAACUAAAGCUGGGAACCCCCUAGAUAGGUCAAAAGAGGACCUAUUUAUAGUCUUAGGGUAAAAAAACAAAGUUCAAAACCGAAAACACCUCGAAAAACGUAAAAAACGCGGAAGAAACGAAACACGCGCCCCGUUCGGCGAUCGCCGUCUGGGUCGCCGAAAAUCAGCCUUUUUACUCUAAGAUUCGGCGAUCGCCGAAUUUUCCACCGGAGGCUAAAAUUGAAACAGGGAAUUCGGCGACCUGGCCGGCGGUCGCCGUUUGGGUCGCCGUUUUUCUUCUUUAAACUGCCAAUUUUCGGCGGUCGCCGUUUAGGUCGCCGAAUUUUGACUGCUGCGCGCGAUGUUUUUGUUUCGGCCAUAACUUUCUCGUCCGAACUCCGAUUUAUGAUCCGUUUGCGCUCACGAACUCGUAUCGAGACGAUCUACAACUUCUAUUUCAGAAUAAUGUUCCAAAUUCGAACUCAAUAAAUCUGCAAAUUCCUUCAAAGUUCGAGUAAGAAUCAUGUUUCACAAGAUAAAGCAAAUUAAGCACAAAACAAUCAUCCAACACUCAAUUUCCUAUAAAAUUAACAUCAUAUGAAUAUUAAAAAACCAUGGAAAUAUGAGUGUUAUCAGUCAUAUACAAACACGACCCACUAAUAAUCUGCUCAACAUGAACACGACACGAUUUUCACAUAUACGUACACACACGAACACGAUAGCAUCACGAUUCAAUUUGUGUUUGACACGAUACGAUAAUGAAAUGAUUCAAUAAAAGCUUGAAUUGUGAGUCAAGAAGAAGAAUAACUUAGUUGUGCUAACAGUGUAAUAAAAGAAAGUCUCAACUCAACCUAACUGUGCAUAACUAUAAAAUAGGAAUUACAAUAAUUAUUUAAUAAAAAUAAUACUCACUCCGUCCACGAAAAUAUGACCUAACUUGUCAUUUUUUGUCCAUCCGCGAAAACAUGUCCUAACCUACUUUUAGUAAUGAUUUGACUAAUUUGUGGGCCACUUUCUCCACUCACUAACUUAUGAGUCAUUUUCUCCACUUACUAACAUAAUUAAUUUUUCCAUUUUUCUUUUUAAUUCGUGGGACUCUUUCUCCCCUCACAAAAUGAAUAACACAAGUUUUCGUGGACAAAUAGAGUAAUAUUAAUUAGGGUAAUUGCCUAUAAAUCCAUGACGUUUACACGGAAUUGGUUUUUUAACCUAAUUUUAUUUUUCUACUUUUAAAUCCAUAACCUUUCGUUUUUGUCUCAAAUUUAUUCGGUGACCGAUUUUUUCUUACGUCGGCGUCGAAAAUAACACGGUGGCAGCCGGAAUUGACAUGGUGGCACAUUUGUGACAUGUGGCAAAAAAAAUAAUAAAAAAACAAAAAAAAUCCAAAUCAUCAUCUUCCCAACCUAAUUCACCCUUCUUCCCCCUUUCCCCCACCCGCUUGCCUCACUCCAACGAGACCCCCAAAAUCGAUCAGAACCUUCAGCAGCGGGAGAAGAAGAAGGACGCCGCCGCGCAUUCAUCUUCAUUGUCGGAGCCGGAGUCGGCCUCCGAAUCAGAGCUGGAUUCUCGUUCCACCUCCGAGCCGGAUUCGGCCGAGGAUCGUGGCGCGAAGAAGCGGAAGAUCAAUGCCGUCGAUCGUGGAUCUGACGGCGUGGUUUCAACUCGGGUGGAGGAGAAUUCGCCAUUUCGGCCUCAAUUUUGAGAAUUGGAGGAGAGCUUUUGGUGUCUGACAAUUGUGCUUUUGUGCGCGGUGAAAACGAAUUUUCUAUUUUGGGAAUGUUGGAAUUCCAGAAUUUGAAUGGGGAAGGGGGUUUCUUUGUGGAAGUGGCAGAGCCGAGGUGGGGAAAGGGGGAGGGUGGACGGUCGCUGGUGUAAAAAUCGAGUCUUGCAUCUCUCAUUUUUCUGUCGAGAUUUCAGCCACCAUAAUCGAAAGACCGACCGCGUUUCGUCUGUCUUCUCCCCAUUCUCAAAUUGAUUCUGAGCCCUGCUCUCUUCCUCCAUUUGGUUCAGUCGUCGUCGUUCUCGAAUCCUUGGUCGUUGUUCUGGAUUUGGGCAGAGAAGGGUACUCGGUCGUUGCCGUCGUUCUCGGAUUUCAUCGAGGCAGGAGCAGCAUCGAGGUGGGGGAAGGGGAGAGAGCGGUGGAGGGCGGCGACCGUCGGUGUGUGGAGGUGGCAGGGGGCGGCGCCGGAUGGGGGAGGGGGAAUUAAGGUUUGGGGUUGGGGAAGGGGGAAGAAGACGAUUUGGGGGGGGGAUUUUCCUUUAUUUUUAUUUUUGUUUUAAUUUAUGCCACUUGUUAAAAAUAUACUUAGGUGUAAAUUCUGGCUGUCAUCUCAUCAAUUCCGGUUGGCACCGUGUUGUUUCCGACAUCGGCGUAAGAAAAAACUGGUCACCAGAUAAAUUUGAGAUAAAAAUGAAAGGUUAUGGAUUUAAAAGUCGAAAAAUAAAAUUAGGUACAAAAACCAAUUCAGUGUAAACGUUAUGGAUUUACAUGCAAUUAACCCUAUUAAUUAUAACAAGUUAUAUGAACCAGACACUAAAUUAUCGUGUCCUUAUCAUGCUGACAAGAUAAGAACAUAAAUGCGAUAAAGCUUGACACUAACUCAUUAAUUUUUUAUGUGUUCAUAUUGUGCUUUUGUGUUGUGUCUAAAAUUGCCAACCAUAAUCGAAAUAGCUUAAAAUCUACAAAAGCUUGAACUAGGAAAACUCGCAUUCACCCUCGACACCACUACGACCAUGGCCAUAUUUUUCUUCAAGUAAUUCUCAGUUAACCAACUUGGUUAUUUGUGUUGGAUAUACAGUGCUUGUAGACGUAUUACAAAUGGAAUAGAAAAUGUAGAAGAUCAGAUUAUAAGAAAUACUCCCUCCGUCCGUCACAAGUGGGGCACUUUAAUUGGGCACGAAAUUUAAUAAUAUUGAUGAUGAUUUUGAUGUAGUAGAGAAAAAGUCCCACCACUUUAUGAGAUGUGUGGUUGAGAUUGAAUUUGAGGUGAAUUUUUUUGUAAAUAAAGAGUGUUUGUAAGGUUAAAAGAUUAAAGUGGAUGGUGAGACCAUUUCCUUAAAAGGAAAGUGGAACACUCUUUGCGGACGUCCGAUAUAGUAAUUGUGCCCCACUUUUGGCGGACGGAUGGAGUAAAACAGAAUUCAAAUUACAGUAAAUGACAACCGUAGGAACAGAUUAGUCGACUUGAGGAGAAUCGUCUGUCCGUAAGACAAGAUACACAUCGGUAGUGCUCUCGAAUUAAGGUGUGUUGUUAGUGGAAUAAGGGUCUCACCUUUUAUGUGAGUAUUAAAAUAAUUAAAAUGAAGUAAGGGUCCCACAUACUUUCACUAAAAUAGAAAUGGAUACUAAAAUAUGAGACAACCAAAAAAGGAAAGUUAGAUACUAAAAGUUGGGACGAAGGGAGUAUAUUAUAUAGAUUGCAUUUUCCACAAUUUCAUAUUUAAAAUAACAAACUUUAAAUAAUUAUUUUUGCUUAUCGAAAAUCAUUUUUGAGUAAAUAAAUAUAUUACGAUUAUCUACUCAAAACGUAAAUCGAUCUCAUAUCAUUUAAUUCAGUUAAAUUAAAUAUUUUUAUUAUUAAAAAAAAUGGAAAAUUGCAUGUAAAUACACAAACUUUACCAAAAAUCCAUAUUGGCGUGAGGUUAGGAUUUUACAAUUUAAUACACCAAUUUAAUAAGUUGUCUAAUUUUAACACAAUUUUAAUUUUCGGUGACCGGGAAAUCUGACGUGUCGAUUACGUGUCAACUACUUAUCCAGCGUGGCAUUGAAGAAGAAAAAACGGUGUCGUCUCAGCCCACUGUUUAAGCCCCCUUUAUCUCUUUUUUCUCUCUCCAUCUCAAAUCACGUUCUCUCUCUCUCAAUAUCCUCAAAGAGCGGAGAAACCCCACUUAUCUGACCUCCUCAUCCCCCGUCGCAGCCGGCGGAGCGAGAGACUGAGGGCGGCAACGGCGGCGGCGCGGUGGCUUGAAAUUGGGGAUCUUGCUCUGUGUGUUAUUAUGUGCGAGUUCAGGGAUAUAGAGGGGAAGGGACAGAGACGUCGGUGGUGGCCGAGGGAGGCGAUGCCACCGGGAAUCGAUGGUGGACUGCGAAUCAAUAGGAAGAAUGCGAGGUUUCCUGAUCGCAAGGAUCCCAACCACUGAUUUUCGAGGUAUGGAGCUCAAAUCUGUUGUGGAUGGCACGCGGAGGAGGUCCGAUUGAUUGUGGCGGAAUGGAUUCAGAGAUUUUCAGAGGUCUUCACCGAUUUUUUUACGGAGAUGGUAAUAGAUUGAGGAGAGAGAGAGAGGCGAUCGAGAACUUCAAAUUACCCAGAUUUUUCCAAAUUGGUGGAAGAUUCCCGUCGAUUUGGAGAGAAUGGCCGGUGGUGGAGAGAAUGGCUCAUUUUUUUCAAUGAACAGUAGUUGGAGAAGAACAAACUCAUCGGCGAACGGAGUGGCGCGUGCCGGCGAGACACGUAGGCGCCACGUCAGAUUUUAAUUUGGAGGAAAUGAAAAAUGUGUCAAAAUUGAACAACUUCUUAAAUUGGUGUAUUAAAAUGUAAAAUCCUAACUUCGGAUCAAAUAUGAAUCUUCGCAUCAAAUGUAAAAAAUUAAUCAAACAUGGAUCCGUCUCCAAUUUCCGAUAAUUUGGUGGUUGUUGGUUUUAUUUUAUGGGUGGCUGCACCGUUGUGUGAAAUGAGAUUUUAUUUGAGAAAACGUCAAUGGAAGUGCUUGGAAUCAGCCUCUAUCUUUUUUUGCUUAGCUCUAUUAUGGCUUUAUUGUGGGGAUGCUGUCCUAAGGGCGCUACCAAGCAAGUCGGGAAAGGGGGGAUUUCUAAUACCUCUAUAAAGCAAAGGUUACGACAUCCUGCUUCUAUCUCCACUCCCGGGGAUGCAGCUGGUCUUGCGAUGACGGCGGUCUCUUCUCAACGUUGGGGGGACAUCAUGGAUUCUGAUAUUCAACCGGUCUAUCCUCAACGUUGGGGGGACAUCAUGGAUUCUGAUAUUCAACCGGUCUAUCCUCAACGUUGGGGGGACAUCAUGGAUUCUUAUAUUCAUACGGAGGAUGAUGCUCUUGAAUUUUGAUUGUCAUGGGGUUCAUGCUAUGGAGCUCCUGCACAUUUCUUGACUCUUUUUUCCUAUCACGGUGUUUUUCCCUAUGGGUCCUCGCCGUUAUGGUUUCGUAGCCCGUUAGUUUGCGUCUGUUGUGCCUUCAACGGGUUUUCUUUGUUACUUUCGUUUUUCUUUUCUCAAUAAAAUUUCAAUUCAGCAGUGGGGAUGCUGUCUUUUUUCUACCACCUCUAUCACAAUUCCACAAACUGUUUUUCAUCGCCAUGCUUCAUGUCUGUAUCUCUUGGUUGUAUUUAUUUCAAGAUUAUAUGCGUCUCUUGUCCUAGGUGUUACUUAUUGUGAUUGUGUAGCUAAUUUCAAAUAGAUUUAGAUUUUGUGUUCCAAUUUUAGUAUAAUUUAAAGACAAUUAAUUAGGAUUACUAUUUCAGUUAAGGUUUGCAAUUAUUUUUUAUAUCUAUUUUUAAUUUUUUAAAUAUAUUUAAUUUUUAAUUAGGAUUUACAAAUUUUAUUUUCAAAAUGAAUACUUAUAAAAUAGUGAAAUUAAUAGUCGGACACGACGUCACACUAUAAGCUAUGGAAGAUGAUUUCAACAGAGGAUAUUUGGAUGAUGUGACAAAUAUUUUAAUGAGUUAGUUUAAAUUGAGAAGAUUAUAUGUUAUUUUAAUUGUCACGGGGAAGAAAAUUGUUACAAAAAUUGAAUUGGAACGUUAAAUUAUUUAAAAUAUAAUUUUAGUAUUCAUUUUACUUAUUAUAAUUCUUUAUUUAAAAGUUAACAAAAAUAUUUAUAUAAUUACUAUUUUGUUCCUAUAUAGUCUCUUAAAAAUCUUAUAAAACAAAUCCUAAAGAAAUAUAGUCCCGUUCAUAUAUCAGGAGCAUAUCUUUCGAUUUUUUUAUAACCUACAAUUAUUCGUUUUCUAUAACUAAGAGGAACUGGACUGAAUUUAUGUCCUGUUCAGUCGUAUGAUUGAGAAAAUAUUUUAUUUCUAUGCAAUAAAAAUGAUUUAAUCAACAUGAAUUACUUAACAUUCAAAUCGCUCCUAAUGAAAACUAGCUAUGACCUAUCUAUUCAAUCAAUAUAAGGGCAUCCACAUCGGCUUAUGCAUUCGAAGGGAUUCGAGUUAUUUUUCGGAUGAGUAAGCUGAUGUAGGUGGCUACUUAUUCGAGCCUUAUUCAUUCAGAUGAGUAAGGCUCGUCCGUCUUUAUGUAAAACGUGUGCAUGCACGCGCCAUUUUUAAGGGGACUCGAGUCUGAGCAUCCACAAUGGAGAGUAAGGGUGGGCUCUUAAACGUUGUUCACAUCAUUUAAGAACCCACCUCCACUAUGGAAGCGCCAACCCUUGGCUCUUAAAUUUGUAAGGGGAGAGGGGGCUCGGAAAUGGAAGGUGCAUAACACGCGCCCAUCCAAAUACACUUUUGAGCCCGGAGCGCUGGAGCGGGGUGGGUGCGCGAGCUGACGGUGCGGCAAUAAUGGAGGGCGCGGAAAAUUGGGUCUUGAGCCGAAAAACAAGCCCCCAUUGUGGAUGCUCUUACUCAACAAAUGUAGGGGAUCGAGUCAUAGCUUAUUCAUUCAUUUUUUAUAUGAAUGAGUCGAUUUGUGAAUGAGUCGAUCAAUAUAGGUUACUAACUCAUAAGUGGUUCACUCUUUAAAUAAGUAAGCUACUUAAUGAACGAACACGUGGAUGCCCUAAGUAAAUUAAGAACACCAAUAUAUUUAUAUUUUAAGUGAAUCAUGAAAAAGAAAGAUCGGAAGAUAAUCUCGUGAAAUGACGACUAUAUCUCUUAGAAACUAUUUUAUUUUUUAUUACUGUGCAAUUCUAGAGUGGGGCCAUAAGGAUAAUAUAGUAAUGAUAUAAAUAUAUUUUAAAUAAAAAGACUACAGGGAGUAAAAUAAGAAUACACUAAGCUACCACCUAUCGACAUAAUAAUUUUGAACUAAGGCAAUAUUGUAUUAUUAUCUUAUAAAUGAAAUUAAAUUUUAAGGUGGAGAACGAAUUAUAAAUCUUGAAAUUUCAAUAACGAAUUACCAAAUUCAGACCACAAAUUCAUUGAUACAAUAAAGCAUGUUGAGGAGCACGAAUUAAUGUAGUGGGGUUAGGUGUACACUUUUUAAUUGAAGUUUGAAAAUUGUAGUAAGAUUUAUAUUUCUUAAUAUUUUUAGGUUAUUUUGGAAUACAAAGAUACGAUAUAUUAGGGAUUUGGAAAUGAAAUCUGAACCCUGUUCGAGAACAAGUGGAAUUGAAAUAAGGUACAAAAUAAAUCACAUCUGUCAUAUUAAAUCGUGAAUAAUUUAUAUAUAAAGAAGGAAAAAUAAGGAGUUUAUUUAAAAAAUGAGGAAUAAAUGAGCAACGUGGCAGUGUGAGGCCCGGGAGCAGCUUAGGAAAGCGACAGUUGUGCCAUGUUGGCACCGGUUGAUCUUGGCCGUUGGAUGAAGAUUCGAUCGGACGGCGCAUCAGACGUUUCGAGGGCGAGAGAGAAAUCGAUGCCGUCCAACCCGGCUCAGGAGUAGGUUUCGCGUGAGAGUUAAAAAUAACAACAAACUACAGAUUAGAUGAGACGAGAGAAGAGAGAGAGCGCACAAAAAGUGAAAAAUAGGAGAGAGCACACAAAGCAAUAAGAGAGAGGAGAGAGAUUUUCAACGAAUUCAGUUUCGUUUUGUGUGAAUCUCGGAGUGUGCUUGCAGUUUUUCGGAAUUUCAUUUCAUCUGAUUCUGUUCAUUCCACCGGCGACAAUGGUGGAAAUCCGGUGAAUUAUGAGAUUCACGGGAGGAGAUUUGCCGUGAUGGAGAGGAACAGAGAUUUACGAAGAGCGACUGUCUCGGCCGCGAACGGUUUGCCGAGAAGACGGCAAAGGAUUACUACUCUCAGAGACUCAACCGGUGAGAAAAAAUCCUUCGGAAAUCUCUAGAUUCGAUAAUUAUUUCGAUUUUUAUUAUUUUGUGGUUUUGUAAUCCUUGUUUUUGGAUUUUUACAGAGCAGGAUAGACAGAUGGAAUUGCAGGAAACAGUGGGGUUAGGAGAUCGAGAGCAGUUACAGAAGAAGGACCGGGAACGAGAGUUUCCUAAGAGAAGAAGAAUCGAUAGGUCUGCGGCGCAGCAGAGAAGUGAUGGCGGUGAGAGUUGCAGAGAGAACGAGAGUACGGAUUCGAGUGACGAAGAGUACUAUGAGGAGGAAGAGGAGAUGAGGAUUCAUCAGCAUAAUAGGGUAAAUCAAUUCUCGCCAACGUCUUCUUCUCUGUCAAAUAAUCGCCGGGGCCUCCGCACACUCCGGUCAUCGCCGGUUCUGAGAGCCGCCGCCGAUGAAAUGUUCGGUGUUCCCGUACCGCGAAGAGCUCGCUCUUGUAAGUAUUCGGAAUAUGUGGUCAAGUCGUCACCAUCAUCCUCUUCUUCUUCUUCUUCUUCUUCUUCUUCUUCUUCUUAAUGUUGUUGAUUGCCUUGGUCAGUUUUAAUUUUUAUUUUCUAUAGCUUCGGCGAAGAGGUUGCAAGAGUACUGCAAUUUAGGCAGUGGAGGCUUUGGCGAGGACUUGAGCCAUCGGAGAUUUUCGCCGUCGCCUGCGGCGGUGAAUCUGAUUGGUUCUGGUGACUCAAUGAAGAAGAAGAUGGUUAGUUGGUUUUCAGAUUUUGUUAUUCCUACGACUUCAUUUUUGUUUUGGAAUAAGCGCUUUGAUGCGACGGCUAACUGACGUGGAAAUUACUUGGCAGAAAUCUUCAGAGCGAAGAGCGCCGAUUCAAAAUCCCAAUCAUUCGACGAUUCAAGAUGAUAUUGAGAUCGAGGUUGCUGAAGCGCUGUUCGAUCUGAUGAAACAAUCUCAAUCGCAAUCCCAAUCCCAAUCCCAAUCUUCGCAAAGACAAGAAAAGCUUGACAGAGAUAGAUUGAACACAGCUGGCGACGGUAAUUUUUUGUGAUUUUUAUUCCGAUCUAUAAUAAGAGUGAGCGAACAAUUGUUAUUGCAAAAGAUUUUUUCGUAACUGUGGAAUUGGUGGAUUACAGAGUUAAAGAUAUCAAAAGCUGAUGGUGGCAAAGAUGAGAAUAAUGCCUUUUCAGUUCAAAAUGAGCCAUCAGUAAAAGUGAAUGCUGGAACAGAUUUGGGCGACUCGAUGAAAGAGCUAAAGAAAGAAGGAAGGGUUGAGAAAGAGAGAUUUCCGGAUGACCCAGCUCAAGAAUUAGUGAGUGGAGAUGGGUUUGUGAAUAAAGUUAAAGUGGGGUCUCCAAAAGAAAGCGAAUCGCCAUCAUGUGUUAAAGUAAAUGCUUGUGAUAUUCAGGAUCCGACAUUGACAAAAGCGUGAGCAUCCCUAAUUUUUGUUUCCAUUAGUUAAUUAUAUUUAUUUCAGCCGAGUUUCUCUCUCUCCUCUUACCUCUUCUAACGGCAUUUAUGGUUGGGCUGGCCGGAGCAGGCAUUAUGACGCAAUUAUUGUUGAGGCUAAGAAGGAAACUAAGCUGGAGAUUGAUUUGAUGGUGAGUACCUCAAUAAAGGGUUUUUUUUUGGCUUAUGAUUCUCAAAUUCUAAUGACUUGUCGACAGUCAUCUCCCUUGCCGUCUUCGCCGGAGAGAGAGGGAUUGGUCGAUAUGGGGACUGAUCAUGGCGUGAUGGCUCAAGCUGGUCGAAAGGCAUACUGAUUUUUUUUAAUGCGCAUUUCUUUCUAAUUCGGUUCUUGUUGUUUUUUUUUUUCCUCUUUUUUAUUUGUGGGGUAGAUUGACUGAUGUUUUUGUACUUCUAAAUCCGAUGCAGAAGAGCGAGGUUGCUGCUAAGAAUGGUCGCUUGGCAGUUCCAUCUGGAAUGCAGGGAGAGAAGAUUGGAGCUGUUAAUAGCGAUCAACAAUCAAACCUUGAUGUUGAGAAGAAUAGCCAUCAGCAGCAAGGUCGGAAGGAGAAUAAAAAUCAAUGUAACCCAUAUUGAAUAUUGAGUAUUUUUGGUUUCAAGAAUUUGAAUACAUGAAAUUUACUAAGGUAUUGAUUGCUUGAUUGUCCGUUCUACUGCAGCACCAACUUCCUUGUUGCCUUUCCCUAUUGGUAUGAGUAGCUGGCCUGGUGUUCUUCCUCAUCCAGGGUGUGUAACGUAUAAUCUCAUUUCUUCUUUCUUUUUAAUUUCUGUGGCCAUUGCUGAAUUGUUUCAUAUGUAGAUUUAUGCCGCCUGUGCAAGCUAUGCCUAUAAAUGGAAUCGCAAAAUCUUCAUUGAUAAUGCAGGUACUUUACAAUUUACACGGUGUCUUUGAAGCCGAUGCUCAUCUUAUUUGCUUCAAUUGGAUUAUUACAUUUUUCUGAAACUGUGCAGCCCCCUCAAUUUAAAUUCUCCCAGCCUCGACCAAAGAGAUGCGCCACACAUCAAUACCUGGCGCAAAGCAUCCAUUACCACCAGCAGCUCAUCAAGAAAUCUCUAUCAACUGGUCCCACUGGUUUGUGUGGAAGCAAGUCACCGAGCCUAAAAUAUACAUCACCGGCACAAAAUUUCAUCCCCGCAAACCCAUUUCUCGGAGAGUUUCAAGGAGGGCAGAAUUUAGCAACUAGUUCUGUUGGAGGUGGAAAAGAUAAGAGCUCCGAUGCUGCUGUGGCUUUAAAUGCCUCAAGCACUAAGUCUUCUUUUCAACAAGCUUCACACCCAGUCUCAACUUCUAGUUUCUUGGUAAGCUUGUUACCCCCGUUUGUUCUUUGAAUUGUUCACCAUAAUUACAAUGCUAAAUUUAGAAUCUUAUGGUCGUUUUCUUGAUGAUUGUAGCAUGGCCACGGUUUUCUAUUGCCUUUUGGGCACCAUCAAACAACAAUGAUGGCACCAACUAAUUCUUCUGGGUCUCCUCAAUCUGCAACCUCAGCUUCAAAUGCAACUUUGCUGUCUACUUCAGCUGGGCGGCUUCCGGUCAACUUUCCUUUACCUAAUGCAUCAACUGCUUUGAGUUUGAACCAUCCUAUGUUUCCUUCAAAUGAAGCUUCCCCAUACAUGACCAUACUACAGAACAAUGGUUGCUCGAUCCCUAUUUCAACAAACAUUUCUAUGCCUCCCUUUAAAGGAGGAUCACACUCAAUGCCCUUCUUUAACUCUUCUUUGUAUCCGUCCCCACCAUUUAAUCAGCAGCAGUUCACCGCUUCUCAUGCUUCAGCCCAGUCAGCUUCUCAAAAUACCAACUUGUCAUCACAAAGACAACCACAGUCCAAUGCUAAAACCAGUGAGAAUAAAUUCCCUACUUCAGUAACUGCAAAUCUGCAGUCAGAGAAGCCUUCCUACUCAUCCAGCAAGUCUGAUGCUGAGAUUAAUUGGAAAAAUGGCUUUGUGUCUCACUCAGCAAAACCUAGUAAUUCACCACAACCAAUGAACUAUGCAACGUUUCAACCUGGACCGGUUGGUGGUGCUGCUGCUGGUAAUAAGCAAAUUGAUCCUCCUCAACAGGGUUCCAAGGGUAGAGUCGAGCUGAUUCCUCAGGCAUAUGCUUUCUCUUUUGGUUCAAAUGCUUCUGCAACCCCAGUGCUCAACUUCUCAUCCAUGGCGCAGAGCACCGGUAUGUUUCAGAUGCUUCCUGACAUGUCUAUGAAUGCUAACCAGAAGAAUUUCCAGACGUCCGAAGUGAAGUCUGUAGCCAGCGGUGGUCAAUCUUUUAACUACUCGAGAUCAGAUUGCUCAGAGAUAUCAGCCCUCUCCACCAUGGGACCUCCCAAGUUUGAUGGUUUAGCUCGAAAUAUGAAUUUUCUUCCAUCCUCCCUCAGCGGCAGCCAAACAUUUCAGACGUCGUCUGGUGUUUCUGCCCCGAAUUUUCAGCAGCAUCAGCUGAUUCAAGUCCAGGAUCACCACAUGCAUCAAAUGCAUUUAGGGCGAACAGGUCAAGUUAAGUCUUCAACUCCUCACGACAUUCAUGGCUCUUUCCCUAUGUUAGCGCCAAAUGAGGCUCCAUCGUUCCACGCCAAAUGGGAGAAUUUCCCUAGAAGCGCAGCUCCUGAGUCUGCCACCUCAAACAUCCCUCAACUCAAAUAUUCUCAAGGCCAAACUCAUAUAAGUUUUGGUAAUGGUCCAUUUCAAGGACACCAUCAGUUUGUGAUGAAGAGCGAGUCUUCCAUGUCAAGAAAUGCGUCUUCCGUGGGCUCAACAACUCCACCACUACCCUCCCAAGAGGGAGAAGGCCAGAAGUCGUCAUCCCCUGCUUGCAGACGGAACGUGCCAUCGAUUCUAAGCACAUGUCCCAGCCAACUGCCGGAGCUCAAGUACUGAUGGUUUCUUGCAUCCAUGAAAGAAAAGAGCGGCUUUUCUGUGGAGAGGUAAGAUUUCAUUGCUUCUGCAAUAAUGAAGAUACUACUAUGUCAUUAUUAAUCAGAAGCUAUUAAAGCCACUGUGCCGUGGCUCUACGGCUGAGCGGGGCAAUUCAAAAUUUGAAAUGUGGUUGGUGGAAGAGGAAGAGGAGGAAGAAGAAGAAGAAAAAGAGGAGUUGGAAUAAGUGAAGGUGAAUCAAAGUAGGAAAAGCAGACUGUUUUGUUGAAAUUUUUGGAGGGUUGCAAUUUUGAUAGUGUUAUUUAUCAGUGGGCUUCCCUUGCUACUAAUCCGAUUGGUUUGGAUGCGACACUCAUGUGUUGUAUGUAUAGACUAAUCUGUUACAUAUCAUCAAUACAUAUAAAAUUCCAUUCUUUCAAUAAUCUGUUUUUCCAAAGGGCGAGUGGGGCCUCUGGUAUACUAUAUAAUUCAAAAGAAAGUUAAAAAAGAGGUGUUCUGUUCUGCUUUUUAUUUUUUUCUAAUGUUGACAUCUUAUAUGGUGUUGGUUGGUUGGUCGCCCACUUUUUUUGGUUUUUUGGGCUACUUAAUUAAUGUUUUCAACAUGACAUGUCAGCCUCAAAACGUUAAUUUAUGUUUGAAAUUUUAUCCCAAGUUGGCGUAUUGCAAUGGUUAAAGGUGGAAUUGUUUUUGUUCUCUUUUUUCUUGAGACUCAUUUGUCAGCAUUCAACAAGUUGUAUGCAUAAGAUUCAAACAUAUCUAAUGCAUUUGUUUUCAUACGCACGCGCGCACAUGUGUGAUUGGCUCUUCGUGGUCUUGGCGUCGACUGCGACACACACGUCAACUAGAUCAAUUCUUCAUUUGACAAACACUAAAUUAAUUUUAGAAUAAACGUUUAUCUUGAGUGAUUAACUAUUUUUAGUUUUAAAGGUGUGCUUUCUAUGAUUAUAAAUUUAUCAGGAUAAAAAAAAUUUAAAAAAUUUAUUCUUUCCAUCUUUUUCAUCUCAUGAUCUUUAAGGUGAAAGUUACCACAUUAGUAUAAGGAAAAUAUUAUCACAUCAAUUCCUCGUAAUACUAUUAUGAUGAAUUGGAACGAAAAUGAGAGAAAAAGGGGUGCCUGAAUUUUUUUCCAUCAUGCCUAUGAAAAAUUGUCAUUCUUACAAAACAUGUGAAAAUUGAUGAAACAAAAAUUACGAGAUAAGUAAAACAACGAAGAACACGAGAAUUUACGUGGUUUGAUCAUUAAGAUCUACAUCCACGGGUGGAUUUUGAAAAAAUUUCACUAUACUUUGUGUGUUUACAUUUUACAUGGUGAUGAGUGAAUUGAGAAUUCCCUAAAUUAAUAAUAAAAUGUCCUACUUAUAGCCAUAAGAGUAAACCUAGGGCACGUGGGCCUAUUUAAUCCCUAAGGCCCAUUAAUUUAAAUAAUUGGGCCUAAGCCCUUAUUACACGGGUCAUGUGCUUGGAGUUGAGUCGUUGAGCUGCCAAGAUAAUUCUCAAUUGAUAAGGUCAGCCCUGUCAAGUCAGCGUUGCACAAAAUAUUUGAAAUAAUAAUAAUAAUUGUGUCAUAAUAAUAAUAUAAAAGAAAGAUUUUAGCCAUAUUAAUUGCACAGCAUUGAUGCAGAUUUUACUCCUCAUCAACUACUCCCCCUUGGUCAACAAUAAAUGAGUGUUUCUAACGAAUUUCUUGUUGCUUUGUGACCUUUGAUUGUUAGCCAUGAUAUUUAGCUCCGCCACUCGUUAAGACGAGAUGUUUUACUUGCACAUAGCAAAUUCAAAAUACUUAGCCUGCAACCUUGUAACUCGUCAAAAUAAAAAAUAUAUAUAUAUCAAUUUUGUAAAACAAUAAAGAUAAAAUAUUCUGGCACUGCACAUUGUCAACACAUAAGAAUUUUCGGUGCUGCCAAUAAAUAAAGAUAAAAAAUUUUCCUUAAUUUUAGAGUCGUGGUCGCAAACUUGAUUUCCCCCUUGAUUCUUGAACAUCGUCAAACGUGAUCAACUUUCAUUUCUUGCGCCGAUACUUGCCCUUGAUUCUUCCAAGAAUUUCACUCAUCUUUGGAUGAGGUGGAGCCAACUUUGCCAUUGCCUAUUUUUCAACAUAUACUCCUCUUUAGAUGAGGUGAAUCAAAUUUUGCCUUUGGACAUCUUCCACAUAUUUUGGAGAUGUGAAAUCAGCUUUUUCCAUUGGGCAUUUUUUUCAACAUAUUUUCGUUCCUCUUUAGGGGAGGUGAAAUCAAAGAGAAUGAGAAUGCACCCUAAGAGAAUAAUGCACCCUAAGUGAGAAAAAAAUUGGUGAAAAUAUAUGUUAUUAAGCCUUUUCCAUCAAAGAUAAUGCACCCUAAUAGAAGAAUUUUUUUAAUGCCACAUUUUCAGUGGGAUAUAAAUGAAGUAAAAUUAAUUUAAAUCUUAGAAAUAAUCAAGAGCUUUGAAAUAUCACAAAAUUUCAAUUCACCUAAGUAAAUUAGAAAUUAAUCUUACUAUUUUUAUCUAUUAAAAAGUUAAUACUCAAAAGUAGACACCUUUAAGUGCUUUAAAAAUAGUUACUUCCUCCGUCCCACGAAUUUUGAUGCAUUUGUUUUCGGCACGUGAAUUAAGGAGUUGUAGAUUAGUGUUUUAAGUGUGUAGGUAAUAAAGUAGAAAAGUGAUAAAGUAGAAGUGUGUAGGUAAUAAAGUAGAAAAAUGAUAAUUAAGUAUAAUUAAGAACCCCUUAUUUUUUAGCUAAUUAUUACUAUAGUUAGAAAUGCAUUAAAAUUCGUGGGACGACCCCAAAAAAAAUAUGCAUCAAAAUUCGUGGAACGGAGGGAGUAAUAUUUUGAUAGUGUAUAUGAUUUAUUUAUCUAUUUAUUUAUUGUUGUUUCGAAAUAAGGGAGCGAUAGAGUUUGAUUUCUAUAUUUCACUAUUUACGUAUUAAAAUUUGCAUUUAUUUGAAUAUUCUUUGGAGACUCGAUAAGUUUGUAUCAUUUGAAUGUUUUCAUAGAGACUUGAUAAUAGUGUAUAUGAUUGCUCGGGUCAAAUGAAAAAGUAUCACGAAAAUUAUACUCAGUCCGUUCCAUAAAAAUAUGCAUAGUAUAAGAUGGCACGAAUUUUAAAAAAUCAUGUAAAGUAUAAUGUGAGUGGAAAAAUGAUCACAAUUGAUUGUGUUUAAUGGGAGAAUUAUUACUAUAAAUAGAUUAUACAUAUUUUUAUGGGAUCGAAACGGACGAAAAAGGAAAAUUAUGUAUAUUUUUUAUGGGACGGAAUAAGUAGUUAUUCAGUCGCAUCAAUAAAUCAUCUAUUAUAAAGACAUAAAAAUAGUUGAACGUGAGUAAAUAUGCAUACUUAUCGAAUUAUCGAAUUUUUUAAAAAUAAUAUUCAAAUCAAAGCACAUUUAUUUCGUCUAUCAAAUUGAAUUAAUUGAAAUAACCAAAAUAAUUAUCUUAAUUAUUUCGAUCAUUCCGAAUUUUCUUCAAAAACAAUUAAAUACACUAAACCAAAAACUUGUUCUACAAAUAAACAAAUUAACUAGGCAAAUAAAUGUAUAUCAAUAUAUGUAUUUAUAUAUAAUUAUUGGUAAUUCUAAAGAAAAAUAAUUCAUACACAUCCAAUUACUACUAAACUACCAAAAUUUUAAUUUGAUUUUAAUCAAGUUAAUCGAACCAAAUUUAAAAUUUCGAUUUGAUUUGUUUCAAUUUUUUGAUUUUGGAGAAAUAAGCUCACCUCUGUUAGAAAGACUAUCCUUUAUAAGAGGUCUUGAGCCCAUUAACUCAUAGGAUAUAUCCUAUAAGUAUAGUUUAUGUAACACUCUCAAGGUUUGCUUAUGAACUUACUUGAGCUUAAAUAAGAUUUGUAAAAAUAGAUUUAAGUCUAAAUAAAAAGUCCUUCUGUAAAAACAAGUACUUUCUAAUAAUAUCUGUUUAAAUUUAUAUAUAUAAAUAUAUUUUAGAAAUUAAAAUCAAUAAAUAUUUAAUAUACUUGGUAUAAUGUAAUAAUUUUGCAUUAGCUCCGAGCUAAUUUGAUCAAUAUUCCUUUUCGAAUUUCGACCAUUCCAAUUAAAUUGAUCAAUUUCCUUAUAUGAACUAAAUAUAAACAAGGAAACAUCUAAUCACUUAUUCACUUUAUCACCAAACACACUUUUUAUUUAGGCGUACCACCAAACACAUUUAAAACACUAGUUUCUUAAAUUUCGUAUCGAAAAAAAAAAUUGAUCAACUUAGUUGGGACGCUUCAAACUUAAACUAAUUUAGCUAUUGAGCUUCUUUAAACGAGCUUUUAUGAAGAUGAGAUCCAAAUAGCUCACAAGUGGCUCUGAAGACCCACUAAUUGGGCUUUCCAUAUCCACCAAAAAAAUGGCAUUUCCUUAACGUUUAGCACGAACAUCUUUGUAAUUCCGAUUAAUUAUCAUUUCACUUGUCAAAAUAAAAAUACAGCCAUUUCACAACCCAAAACCUAAUAAAUUUAGUACUCCAUUAAUCAUCAAGAACAAGUAUAGCCAUCAAAACUAAAUAUAAAUUCUUUUAACCAUGCAAAUUUAUUCUACAGCUACAUCCCUCAAUACAGAUGGCUUUUUUAGGUAGUUCAAACUGUAAUUUAGACUUGAGAUCAGAACCAUCUAUUUUCCCAAGAGAGAAGCCAAGCUCACCACGACGUCUUGUUUGGCUUGUUGAUCAAAUGGCUCGUUGCCAACGUACAGAUCCAGGAUUGAUCGACACAAGAGCUUGCUCUGGAUGCAUCCAGCCUCCUUUCCAUCAACUGCACACGUGCAAAAAUGGAACCGCGUUACCAAGACUUUGCAUCAUCACCAUGCUAAUGACAGAGAAAACAACCCUUAUCAAACAUAUAGUUGUUUAGGUUGUAAGCACAGACAGUUGUAUAAUUCCCUUAACGUGCACAAUUUGAAGAGAUUGUUUGAGAUACAUUCAAGAAAUUUAGAAAGACAAUGUAUAUAUAUCUUACUAGUUGUGCGAAGAACAUAGUCCCGCUCCCUAGACAGAUCAAUGAUGGAGCCCUUGGGUAGUUUAUAUUCGUCUUUGAAUUGAGCUGUGAAUCUGCAGAUUAAACACCCCCACAGAAAAUCAAUGACGAUAUGAUCACCAAACUCAGCACAAGUCAUUGGUCUUAACCAAUGUGGAUGAAAAUAAAGAUUGGAAGAAGCUGCUGCAAGCACUUCACUAGUAAACUGCUAAUGCAUAUAUAGAAAUAAAUCUAAACCAGUUCUAUAAACGAAGGCCGAUACAUGGAGUGAGACGACAUGCGUGUUGUGUUGCAAUAUCAACAAACUCAACGAGUAGAUGAAAACAGUAAGUCACCUUUGUAGCAGUUCUUUGGUUUCCGAUCCCCCAAACUUCUGUAAUCUGCUGCCUACAGACUCUUCAAAAGCACUACGAACAGAACGAAUGCUCAAUCUUCCAUACACAAUCUGCAGCCUAAUAGUCAUACUAACAUCACACUCCAUAAGAUCCUCCUUCAAAUUUUCAUUUCCCUUUAAUUCCGUAGCAGAAACAUCUCUAUAUUUCUCACCAAGAAACUUCUUUACAUCGGCAUCAUCAGCAUAUACACCUAUAAACAAGGGAACAAUUAUGAUUAUCAUCUUUCUUUCGAAAGAACCUUUUUAGCAUAAUUUGAUCGAACAAGUGAACACCAAGCAACAUUUUCCUACAUCACACACAUCAGUAUAUAAUACCAUCACCUAAUUAGGGAUUUUCACUGUUUCAACUCCGAUUUCAAAACCAAAUAAAUAAUUCAAAUAUAGUGAUUACAAUGUUAUACUAUAAAUUAGCAGAAUUCGUAGCAAUUGAAGAAAUAUCGAGCUCAAAAUGAAAGAAUGCAGUACCAAAAGCAUAGACAUCGAUGUUCUUCAACCCUAAAACGGCUUUUCUCCGCAGGCCAAUUCCGAGAAGCCGCUGGGAAUCUCUGAGAACAGAAGGAAAUGACGCUCCAGUCCUCGGCUCAGAGACCGGCGACGCAUUUCCGGAGAGAUAAAGAGAGCCCCACAUCGGGCAAAGGCUACCUCUAUUAGAAACCAAGUAAUUCAAUGCGGUUCGAGCAAGCGGGCUGUCGGGGUUCUGUGAGAUGGCAAUGCCAGAUCCAGCGAUCGAUAAAGCGGCGGCGGCGGCGGAGAGUGCGAGAGAUAAGGGGCGAGGCGAGGCAUUGGAGGCGGCGGAGGGGGGCGGAGUUGGAGGCUGAGUAAACGAGAAGGGGAAGCGGAAGGAUACCAUUGUUUUACAGUGAGUUUGAGGUGGUUGAGACGGUUGUAUACUGUCACGUGUGGCUAUCAUUGGGCUGCGCUAUCAUAUUGGCCCAUUAUUCUUCAGGCCCAAUUCUUCCUGGUAAACUACCGUUGUCGCAGCUGGCGGCUCCAUCGAUCUUCCCUUUCUAUUCCUUCAUUUUUUCUACUUCUAAUGCUUCUUUAAUUCGUAAGUCAAUCUGCUGUAUUAGUGAUAGUUAUUGGCUUGUUGGGCUAAAUCUGUUGGCUUUUCAGCCCAAGCAGUUAUAGAUCUUGAUCCAAUGGUAAUGAUUAGCCCACUAUAAAUAAAAUCCAAAUUCCUAUAUUAAAUUUUUUAUGCCCAAUAAUUAAAUUAUCUGGCCACCUCUUAAAUAGAUAUAAUUUGGCCCAUUUAAACGAAUAUUUGAAGUUCAUUUACUUUCCAACAAAUGUUACCAAUUAACAGGAGAGUCAAUCGGGCCAGGCCACUCGGUUUCGGGCUAGCUCAUUCGAUUUCUGGUUAUUUUCGGUUCGAGCUAAUCGGCUUUUUUAUUUUUCAGGCUAAAAUCUUUCGACCUUGACCCUAAUCCACUCGGUUUCGGGCUAACCCGUUCGAGCCCACAAGUUUAUGAUUUUUUUAUAUGUUUAAUUUUUCUUAUAGAUAAACAUAUUUUUGUAAUAAAAAUAUGUCGUAUUUUUUAAAUCAAGACAUUUCGCCUUAUUUUAGAUACAAAAAUUAGUGUUAUUUUAACAUAAGUUUAUACAAUAUCUAACUUUUAACUUCGUUUCCGAUAAAAUUGUAUAUAGAUUUAACAUAAAUGAUUAUCUUUCUUUGACUUUUAUAUCAUAGAUGUUUGUUAUUAACCGUUGAAAAAAAUCAAAACAUAUUCUACAAGAAUCAAAAUGUUAUUAUUUUAAUUAAAAAAUAAAGUAUAAAAGUUUAAAAAUCAAUUAUUAAGAAAGUGCUCGGUUAAUCAGGCCAACCCACUUGGGCUUGGGUUAUUUUCGGUUCGGGGCAUUCGGGCUAAAAAUUUUCAGCCCUAAGCCUCUUUUUUUAUCGGUCUAUUCGGGUCGACCCGUCGAUUUCAGACUUUUUUGACAUGACUACCAAUUAAUAAAAUAAAUAGUAAAUAAAAUUAACCAAUGCAUAUUUCCUCAAAAUAAUAAUAAUAAUAAUAAUAACCAAUGAGUAUACUAGCUGAGAAAAUUCCUACUUGUAAAAUUUAAUUUAUCCCAAAGUCUUUUCUCCAAUUAUUCUUAUAUAAUAAUUAAUAUAUUUAAUUAAUUGUAAUCGGUGUUUUAAGUCUGUUGGUAAGACGCUUCCCCUCCAACCAAUAGGUCGGGGGUUCGAGUCACCCUAGGAGCUAGAGUGUGAGUGAGUUUUUUUCCUUUCUUUGGUUGUAACAAUUUAAAAAAAAAAAAAAAACUAUUAAGAAGGCACUAACUUAAUUUUAGGUCGGGCUACUACUACUAGUAUUAUUAUUAUUAUUAUUAUUAUUAUUAUUAUUAUUAUUAUUAUGAAUCGUCCACGCAAUGAGUUACCGUCACUUUCCAUGGAUGUUGUAUGGAUAAUAGUCUAUUACUCAACAAAAAAGAAUCCACACUCAUAUCACAUUGAACAAUAAUAAAGAUACCUCUAACUAGUAUUCCUUGGAAUUUAGCAACUAUGAUUACUAUUAUUUAACAAGAAAGCAUCAAGCAUUCCAAAGAUACCAAAAUCCGUCUUGGAAACAAACACAUUCUACUAAAUCAGUUUAUGCCAACUUAUCUUUUACUAACCCUUUUUGUAAUAAUAGUUUUGUUGGUGUAUUAUUCUUUAAUUUUUAAUUUUAGUACAUUGCUGCUUGGUUAAAAACCUUAUUAAUGAGGAGUAGAUUGUGGGAUUCCUAACAUCAUGACACGUGUACUUUAGCACGACUGAGUGUUGAGGCGGAUUGAUCCAGCAUUGUGGGUGAUGAAAUAAUCCCUAAGAUGAGAUGUGCUAAAAACAUCGCGCAGUGACAGGGCUGCAACUCAAGAGCGAAAUAGGGGCGUGCGAGAAUGACAUAGCUGUGUAUUUCCAUUCCUGAACUAAGGGGGGGGUGUAUUCGUUGUGGAUUUCCACAGACUUUAAAAAGUCCAUGGAAUUUAAAUUCCAUGGAAUUCACAUAGAUUUCAGACGACUUUCAAAGAAUUCGUGGUUGGAUUUCACCCCGAUUUUGACUAAUUUUCGAAGACUUUAUGGGAUAAUUUUGGAAUUGAAUUCCAUGAAAUCAGCGCCCGCGGAGUCCCAACACCGCUGGAAACCCAGCGAGCGCUGGAAACCCAGCGACCGCUGGGUUCCAGCGAGCGCUCAAACUUACUGAAGAAAUUAAUACACGCUCAAACCCAGCGACCGCUGGGUUACGUUGCCCGAAUGAUGAUUACAGUCGACUCCUUCCCAGCUGCAACAGUCUAGUGAUGCAGACCAGUUCAAGGGCGGUGCAGCAGAGAUGCUCAUGUUAAAUGAUGAUAAAGAAUCAUGGCCGAGUUUACUUCAUGAGGCGUCGCCGUUAUGCACAAAGCAAGUUGUUAUUAUGAGUAAGGUUAUUUGAGAAUGGAAAGAUACAGCGCCAUGGUUCUGCUUGUUUGAUGAGAAGGAAGGGGGACUACUCAGAAGCAUCGCAGAAACCAACAACACAAAGUCGAGAGAGAGGAUUCGUGGACUUUGUUUUUGGUUAUGGUCUUUGAUUUAAGAGAGGGAGCAGUUGAGUGCGAGCCUUCUUGUAAUUUAUUAAGAAUAGGUCUAUAUAGGUAGCAGUUUGAUUGAACGAUUGUUGAGUUCCAGCGCUCGCUGGCUUCUUGGCCGCGGGCGGUGGAACUCAGCGCUCGCUUAAAAUUUCAUGGAUUUCAAUUCUUGUGGUUCUUGGCCGGAUUUCGUCGUGUGUAUUUUUUGGAUGAAAUCCAUGAAAGUCAUUCCGGAUUUUAAGUCAAUGGAAUAACGAAUACACCUAGAUUUGUAUGGAUUUUAAAAAGUCUUGAACGAAUACAUCCAGAUUUAUAUGGACUUUUAAAAGUCUUGAACGAAUACACCCAGAUUUCUGCAGACUUUUAAAAGUCUUGAACGAAUACAUCCAGACUUUUAAAAUCCAUAGAAAUCCAUCAAAUUCCACAAUGAAUACACCCCCCUAAGCCAUCGCUGGGAGAAAUGACAAGGUCCGACAUUUACUGACAAUUGCUACUGUCUAUAUCUUUAGAAGUCGUUAGCUAGUACAUGAGGGGCGCAUGUCUUGUAUAGGAAAAGACUGAAAUAACCCCAAUAUGAUUCUCUAUAUAUAUUUCCUCCAUUUGUAUUUAGAGAUUACGUAAUUCAAAUUAAUAAAACAGUCUUGCUCUUCCUUACUUUUCUCUCUUUCGGUUAACAACAAACAGGUGAUUAAAUCUAUCACAAACUGUAGAAUCUAGGCCUACUUUUCUGAAUUCAACAACUAGCGCUGUCUGUGGAAAUUAGAGAGUAUAAGAUGUGAGAUGCUUUGGUGUUUUACGAGAGAAACAUGUUUUAAAUCGUUUUUGAGGAUUUCCCAACAGAGUUCUACAGCUCCAUACGAUUUACGUUCGGCUAGAAAGUAUUAACCCUCUGAAUAUUUCACUUAUGUUGGGAGGGUAGUGAUUAUUCUAAAGGUCGGGAAAAGUAUUGUUGUUGGGUCCCGGAAGGUUUAGAAUAGGUGUAAGGGGGGGAAUACACCUAUGGGCUAUUUUUCGAAAAACUUGUUGAAGUUAACUGAAAUAGUAUAAACUAAUACGAAGGAGAAUGACUGAUGAAAACAGUUAACAAAAACAUCAAUUAAACAAAGGUUGAAGACUGAUACUGAAAUAACUUCAGCAAAUUGAUUUCAGUUAGGCACACGACUUUAACUGAUAUUUGCGUAAGACUUAUGUCUUGAUUUUAAAACAGAUGAGUGUUAUGAAUCUUACUGAUUAUCCGAAGAUUUAUCAGUUAAACUAAUAACACUGGCAGCGGAAAACUUAACUUUUGAAAUAGCCUUUGAUUAACACGUAGGUUAUAGUUUCGCUUUACAAUUAAUCAGUUUCAGUUAUAAACAAGUUUGUGCACAGAUAAGAAGGUAAAACUUAAAACGAUAAACAACAAAGGAUUUUUACGUGGUUCGGAACAAGUUUCUACGUCCACGGUCAGUUAAACACACUGACGAUCACUCUGGGCUUGUGCUUGCGGGUGCACAGCAAACCUUAGACUGAAAAUACAAUUUCCAGUACUAACACUCUGGGUUGGAUUUCUCGCUCACUCUUAGCACGCUAAGACACAAAAAUGCCUUUACCAGCGGGUGGCUAAGAUCUUUUGGAGUCAGAACACUAGUCUGAAAUCCUCUCUACUCAAACACUCUUUUCGCUCGGUUGAAAGGAGGUUCGAAGUACCAACUAGAUUACAGAGAACAUACUCUCUGUAAUUAGGAACUUAGGCUUUGGAUUUUUCAAGAUAUUUGCCUAAGAGACUAAGAGAAUGUAUGAAAUCAGAUAACUGAUUUUAGCUUUGGGUAUUCACUUCUUCGAUUCAAAACUUUGAAGGCAGUGAAUGGCUGAGUUGCGAAUUUGGAAGAGUUUCAGCGUGUGCGUUUGAAUCGGUGAAGAUUGUAGUGUUCCUCGAGCUCUAUUUAUAGGAGAAGUCUUGAAUAGAUCCGUUGGCUAAGAUGGUCUUCAAAAAUUCAUCCGUUGUGAGAGUAAUUUGAAUUUGGCUUAGGCUUCAAUCUUCGAGAUUCCUUAAUUUGGUGAAGAACGGCGUCUCAGGUACAAGAGGUAAGACGCCUCUGAAAAGUUAUCACAAAAAAAGAAUACUCUGCAGAGAAAGAACGAUCUUCAAUAUCUCAGCAUUUAAUGCGGCUGUACUUGAAGGUACAUGGCUUCCUUUAUAAUCAGGAGUUUCAGUCCGAGGAAGAAUGUCAACCGAUACUUGACUUGAGUAUCAGUCCGCUAAAUCCACAUAGCCUGCAUUAUUACUUAAGCCAUAACUGAUUCUUCAGUAAGCAACUCGAUCAGUCAAACAUCAGUAUUUGACUUGGCCUUUUCACAGCAAACUUCAGUUGAGGUCUUCAGUCUUCAGUCCUCAGUCCUCCGGUCUUCAGUCUUCAGUCUUCAGAACACUAGAUAAACUAGAAAAUGAACUCCAACACUUGAGUUCGGAAAGUUCUAGUCUAUUACAAAGAAAACCUAAGGAUUUUGGUAUCAUCAAAACUAGGGCUAGGAUAUUUCAUUAAGUUCCCAACAAUUGUGCAAGGAUUCAUAAUCAUAUUGGAAUUCACUCCGCGUACUUUUUAUGGUCUUUCACCUGAUUUUGCUUGCUGAGGGUAUAUAUCAUGUCUGAAUUUUUCAUUGUGUGAUUUGGAUUUCUCAUGUUAUGAUGAUUUUAAGGACACCUCGGUUGUAUUAUGCCUGUUACGUGCAUUGUUCCCUCUUAGAUUGUUGGGAACUUAAUGAAAUAUCAUAAUCAUUGUUUUGAUGAUACCAAAAUCAAUAGGUUUCUUUUGUAAUAGACUAGAACUGCUUGAACUCAAGUGUUAGAGUUCUUUUUUCUAGUUUAGUUGCUGUUCUGAAGACUGAAGACUGAAGAACGAAGGACUGAAGACUGAUGUUGCCGACUGAAGCAUCAGAUGAAGAAUCAAUUUUUGACUGAUUACUUAAUGCGAGCCACGUGGAAUCAGCGGACUGAUACUAAAGUCAAGUAUCAGUUAAACAUUCUUCCUCGGACUGAAUCUCCAACGUUCAAAGGAAGCCACACACUCUAGAAGUACAGCCGCAUUAAAUGCAGAGAUCUCAGGAUCGUCAUUUCUCUGCAGAGCUCAUUCCUCUUUGGUGAUUACCUUUUCAGAGUUGUCGCAUCUCCUGCUCUUCAAUAUAGUUGUUCUCACCAAACAAGGAACCUUGAAGAUUGAAGCCUCAACCCAAGUUCAAAUUACUCUCUAACGGAAGAAAUCUUGAAGACGUUCUCCGCCAACGGAUCUAUUCAAGACGUCUCCUAUAAAUAGCGCUCGAGGUUCACUUCAAUCUUCUCCGAUUCAACGACAUAAGCUGAAACGCUGCCAAAAUUGUUUCUCAGCUAAAACCCAGACUCUCCAAAGUUUGAAUCAAAAAAGAGAAUCCCAAAGCCAAAAAUCAGUCACUGCUGAUUACAUAUAUUCUCUUAGACCUUAGGCAAAUCUUGUUUAUCCAAAGCCUAGGUCAAACUAACUCCAAAGAACUUGUUCUUUGAAGUUUAGUUGGCAAGUUUUCAAACCUCCCUUCAACCUACUGAAUCGAGUGUUUGUGUUGUAAAGGAGUUCAGAAAGGUGUUCUGUCUCCGUGAGGUCCUAGUGCCUAGUGCGUACUAGGAGUGAGAAAUUCAACAAGGUGUGUUGGUACUGAAGAUUAGAUCUUCAGUUGUUUCGGUUGUGUGCACCCGCAAGCACACGUUCAGGUUUGAUGUGCACCCGUAAGCACGAGUGUUGGUUUGCAGUGCACCCGUAAACACUUGCCAGUGAAGUUGUUGGUCUGAUCAACCGACCAAGGAUGUAGGAAGUGUUUUCCGAACCACGUAAAAAUCUCUGUGUUAUUUACAACUUUCAGUAUUUACUUUCUUAUUUGUGUUCUUCCCUUCGUAAACUGAAAACUGAUUAAUCGCAAAGACAAAACCUUAAGACUGACAACGUGCUUAACUCACAGGCUAUUGCGAAACAAAAGUUUUCCGCUGCGUGUGUUAUCAGUCUAACUGAUCUGUCUUCUGAUAGUCAGUAAGAUUCAUAACAUCUCUGUUUAUCAAACUCGACUGAAGCCUUACGUGCAUCAGUUAAGAUCUUUGACUUAACUGAUAACUCUUUAUUGAAAAGUAUUCAGUAUCAGUCGUCAACCCUAUUUUGGUCAAAACUCUUUUCUGUAAACAGGUUGUGUGAGUUUGUGUUUGAAGUUUCGUUUUGAUCUCUUGUAAAGAUCGAAAAUAGCCUAUAGGUGUAUUCCCCCCCAUACACCUAUUCGAGACCCUCCAGACCUAACAUAUAUCUAACUAAUGUAUUGUUUGUUUGAUGGUAUAUGGGCACUAUUCUUCUAUGUUUUUGUGGUUCGUAUUUUUAUGCACGGAAAUUCUGAAUUUCUUAUAUAUAUAUCGCAUUGAAUCUGGGUUUUCUCGGUCUUCUGCAUUAAUUAUAUUAUGACAUUCAAAUAGCCCUGUCAUAUCGCAAUGGUGAGCAUUUAUUAUUUAGAUUUUCAUUAGGAUAUUUUGCAGGAGCCGUAUAUUGGUCACCUGCUUAUUCUUCAUGAUCGUUGUUGUACGAUAUUAAUGGCUUCCUUGAAAAUAGGAUUGUACGAUAUUAAUGGCUUCCUUGAAAACAGGAUUAUGGAAAACACUACUGUCACCAAGAACUUGGGUGAUGACUUCGAAUAGAAGGCCAUAGGUUACACUACUAAUGUGUCAGAGGUUGACAAGGUUGCUAAAGGCACUAGUUCUACACCAUCGGGAUUUACUAGACAGAUACCUACCAUACAACUAGGAGUAUGCAUCGGUUCAUAAUCGAACCAACAAACACACAUUUUAACAAACCAAAACCAAAUUGAGGGGGGAAAUGUACAAAUCGAACCAACCAACAUAUAUGAAAAAACCGAUCUGAACCGAACCAGCAAAAACCGAUCGAUUUCGGUUGGUUUUCUGAACCGACCGACCUACUGUGUUGCGCUGCAUCGGCGAGGAAGUGGCGGUCUGUUGUGCUGCAUCGGCGAGGCAGAGUUGCAGGUGGUGGGCGUUGCCAUUCCCUUCGCCAGUGCUGUUGACAACAAAUGGGAGAAAGAAGACGGUUGUAGGCACUUGACUGCGGCAGCUUGGCACGAUUCCUGAUGUCGAGCCGAAGGAGAAAUGAGUCGGAAGAACUUCUGUCGGAGAAGAUAGCAGUUACUGUUUUAAAGAGAGAGAAAGAUGUGAAGGGUAGUGUAGGGGCGACAGCUUUCCAAAAGAAAAGAGAGAAAUGUAAGGGGUAAGUAUGGGUGGGCGGCAGCAAUGUGUGAUGAAAGUUAGAAGUAUUAGGAUUUUUAAUAUAUUUUGAUAUUUUAUAAUUUAUUAUAUAUAUAUUCAGUUCGGUUCGAUUCCCAACCGAUGAAAUUUAAGGGAAUCGAAACUGAACCGAUACUUAAUCGGUUCUUUCCCAUAAAAAUUGAACCAAAAAUCGAUGCUCAUUUUUUCAAAUCGAAUCGAACCGAAAAUACUCGGUUCGGUUAUUUUUUUGGUUUGGUUCAGUUUCUGCACACCCCUACAUACCACUAGCUUCACCAGGGCUAAUUAGCACAGAACUGCCACCUAUAGGAUCUAUUCCACCGGGGAUCGGGUUCAUCAAUGUUACUAUGACUGAGCAGAUGUUGUCUCUGUUUGACACCACUGGCUCCCGAAACUCUUACUGGUACAGGACUGGAAGCCACGACAGCACAGUUGACCCCCAAUCUUGCCACGAGAGGAGUGCUAUAGGAUCCAACACUUACUCCCAAAGGAACUACACUACUGCAUACACCCGCGGGACCUGAUAAGGAUAAACCCAACAAUAAGGGUAAACAACAUUGUGAUGGGCCAUUGUAUCCGGAAAAAAUGGAGCUCAUUGAAGACGUAGUUGAUCUUACUAGUAAAACUACCCCUACCCUGGCACGCCAUGGCAAUGAACCGUGUGGUGAGGAUCCAGCUCUACUGCACAGUAUCACUUAUGCAAAGGCAUAUUCAGGAGUUGGAGGCAAUCAUUGGGGAGAAUGAACAUGUAACUGAAAAUUUGCCCAAAGAACAGAAGAAAGUAAGGGAGAAGCUUCGCGCGUCAAGGCGAGAACAUUCUCGUCAUAGGGAGCACUUUGAGCAUCGAGGAAUUAGUAAACGCAAGGCUGCCAUGAGACAUUCUCGAGGGGGACACGAUAAGGAGAGGAAGCGCUCUAUGCCUGAUUUGGGAUUAGUACCGCGGCUGCGGUCAAACCUUUUUUCUGAGGAGAUUUUGGCAGAUACGCUACCGCGCCACUACGAGCUGAUCACAUUAGAUUACAAUGGGUCAGAGAACCUGAAAGUGCAGAAUGCCGAGUCCGUCGUAGGACGGGAAGAGAGUGGUCCACAUGAUCAUUGGAGAAAAAAGAGUCCCCACGUCUAAUAGAGCAAAGAAGCAAGCUAUUCGAUCCGCUAGGGCUGGGUAUUAUCCCCACCAUGUGAUGUCAGUAUCAGGAGGGGAGAAAGAACCGGACAUUUCAUUCAGGCUAUCAGAUCAUCGAGGCCUUAUGCAUCCACACAGCGAUACCCUAGUAUUUUCAACAGAUGUUGCCAAUUGUAUUGUUCACAAGAUUUUUGUGGACACCGGAAGUGCAGUCAACAUCAUUUAUCAAGAAUGUUUGGUAGCCAUGGCAUUGAGAGCAGAGCUGAAACCUACCAGUGCUCCACUCUAUGGGUUCACAUGUGAGGCUAUUACACCGCUGGGAUCUAUCAAAUUACCAAUGGCUUGGGGAUCCCCCGGUGCUUCAUAACUCGGAUGCUCCGAUUUUUGGUCGUUGACAUGCCCAAGCCCAGUUAUAACAUAAUUGACGGGCUGCCAGCCCUGAAUACAUUCCAGGCUAUCAUACCAUGCACCAUCUAAAGAUGAAAUUCACUAUAGAAGGGAGCAAGAUCGGGGAAGUAUGUGGGAAUCAAGUGGUCUCUAAGGAGUGUCAUGUCCGGAGCCUGACUCAAAAAAUGGGAACCAAACGAGCUAGGGAAAAUAACGAGAUGUUAAUAGUAAAGUAGGGGAAAAUUGGCACCACACCCGAAACCCAGGAAGAAUGACACACACCUGUCGUGCGGUGCGGGCAAAAUACUUGUGUAUGCCCAGUACAGACGAUACACGCUCCUACGUCCCACAACAAGAACUCAGUCUUAGUGGCAAGUGUAGGGUCGAAUCCCGCAGGGAGUGAUGAACCACUUUGUUCUCCAACGACAAACUGAGGUGUCACAAGUCUCAAUCUGUAUACUCUGCACAAGAAAUUAACAAGAUCAAUAAUAACAAAAGGGUGAGGUUAUUCGGUUAGGUCAUAACUGUUGUUAACAUUCGUUGCGGUCAUAGGCAUACUGAUAAUCCGUCCAUGAUCCAUAUAAACCCAAGGCGUGGCCCAAAGACAUUGGGGCGUUUCAAGGGGUUAUACUUCACAUUUAGGAUGGUUGAUCCCAUUGUGGUCACUUGGUCCGGAGGUCACACAUUCCCCGGUCACAAGGCAGUGCUUCACUCCUCCUUAGAUAGUAGUCAUACCCGUUACUCACCAAGUAUGACCCUCACCAACCUUCUCUCCCGAGGUCCCCAACUCCGCACUUUGAGUGACACAUGCCUCCUGGACACAACCAUUUCCGGCUUGUCAGCCGACCAGUCAUAGACAUGAUACGGCGCAGAGAUUGCUUUCCUCGUUUGAUAACCAUGGCUUUAUGCCUCGUCACAGUUGAUGGAUAGUCUCUAGAGAAGCCCAAGACUGAGGAAGGACAGUGUAUCCCAUCAAUCCUUUCCCCACCUUCUGGAUCUACAACGCCUUUUGUUGACGCUGCUCAGCCACUCGGUCUUGGGUAUACUAUAUGUCACGCCCUGGUAUACCCUAGCCUUUGCUUGACACGGACAUCAUUUUACCGAAUGGAGAUCACCCGUUAGACCCCUACUGCCCAUGGUGUCGAACAAAUCCUUCUGGAACCACGAGAUUCAACCGAAAGAACAAAUGCCUCACGAAUGUUUACAUGUUAACAACAAUUAUUUCCACCCCUAAAACCUCACCUAAGGAAUUACUCACACAUAGUAGAAUUCAUAAAUGCGAAAUGAAUUAAAUGCAUCAUGAAACAAAAGGGAAUACUUAAAUAAGAUAAAGUAAUACCUAAGGCUACGAGCCUUGAAUCUUGUUCGAAUGAAAACACAACGGAAACAGAACUGGAAUGUAAUUGUUUUUGGGUGCCACACUUCGGCAGAGUUAAAGUAAUAAGCUAAAUAAAAUAGAGUUUAAAAGGGGCCAAGAGCUUCUUCUCGUUGCACAUCUUCAACCUUUUAUACUGCCAAUCGGUGAAGGUCUAACCCUAGCUGCGCCAGCUUCAUAUCUUCAUCGAGAUCUUCUUUUCUUUUUUAGCUCAAUCAUUGAUUGAUCCGAUUGAAGAUAGCUUCCAGCUGCAUGCUGUAGUCAAACUUUCCCUUCUUCCAGAUUCUUCCAGCUCCUUCUUCGUUCUUCUCCAUCCUUCCUCCAAAUCUUCGGGAUUUACUUUCCUUUUCUGGCUUUGGCUGUCUGCUUCGCAUAGUAGUGGUCAGACGGAUUGCUUUCUUUGGUUUGAUUCAUACCUGGUGGGUUGCUUCAGGUUCCCAUGCCCCAAGUUAGACUGGAGAGGUACUGCAGCCGAAGCUCCAUGCUGGUAAACAUGACAUAGCAAUCUGGGCUUGGUAAUGCCCAUUCCAACCACAUUCUUUCCGUUUCCGCUCCACUGGACCUUCCUUCCUCAACAACUUUGUUUCCCCUGGACAUACCUGAACUGACACAAAUAAAGAGAAAAAUAGGGCCAAAUGGCCCAAAAGUCGAAGACGCAUCAAAGAACUAGAUGAAAUGACGGAAUCAAGGCGAAAUCCAGACAAGCAACCAAUGAAUCCACUAAUGAUCAUUAUGUGAUGAUAGAACUAUUCCCGGGAAAAACUGGUUUCACCACAAAGAUAGGCACAGAGAUGGCAUCGGAGGUGGAAAAAGACAUGAUAGAUUGAUUACGAAGAAAUGUGGAUGUGUUCGCAUUCAACACAAGUCAUGGCAGAUUUAGAGGGCAUAGAUCGAUAUCUGGCAUAGCAGCGUUUGAAUGUAGACUCCACAAUCAAGCCGGUCAAGCAAAUAACAAGACAGUUUGGGCCCGAAAAGGAUGCAACCAUCAAAGAACAUGUUCAAGGUCUUCUAAAAACAUGGCAUCUUGUAGAAGUACAGUAUCCGAUAUGGCUUUCCAACGUUGUGAUGGUGGAAAGAAAGAGAAAGAAUGGCCCAUGUGUGUGGAUUAUCGAGAUUUAAAUUGUGUCUGCCCUAAAGAUUAUUACUCACUUCCAAGGAUUGAUCAACUAGUCGAAUCCACUACUGGAUGCGAAUUAUUAUCCAUGAUGGAUGCGUUCCAAGGGUCUCACCAGAUCAAUAUGCACCCUUCAGAUAUAGCCAAGACCACAUUCGUCGUGUGCUGCGGUAUGUUCGGAUGGGCCAGCAUGCCCUUCGGUCUUAAAAAUACAGGGGCCACAUACCAACGAAUGAUGGAUAAGAUUUUUUAGGAGCAUAUAGGGAAAGAACAUGUCUGUUUUAUGUAAACAACAUGACGGUGCGAAGUACUUUGGCCAUAGACCACGCAAGGGACUUGGAAGAGGUGUUCUCUGUUAAGGGGGAAAAGUAGGGUCUCUAAAUCUUUCGCAUGAUGGACUUUCAUUUCUUCUUUGAGGCAUCAUACUGAAUAAAUACACAAAAAUCCCCUGAAUUAGGUUUUAAUCAAAUUAGUAAAGUAAAACUAUCACUUAGAAGUAAAUCAACUAAGUCAUGAGAUCGUGUAAACAAAAGUGAACCAUAUAAAAUAAUUAAAACUCAUCAAUAUAUAAUAAAACCGCUUUGGUCAUUUCAUAUCAUGGGAAAAUUUGCCUUAUUAAGAACUAUUGCAAAAAGGGAAUAUACCCUGCAAAAAGCCCCUAGUACAAAUUGUGAUGCUCUAACUAUACAAAAAUACUAUUAGUACUAAGUUACGGUGCAACCGCAUCAUCAAUUUGUCUAUAUAUGAAUCCACACACUAUAUAUACAUACUGGUAAAGCAUGAAACCAACACCUAAACUAUAAAGCAAUAAACGAUACAAUAUUUACGUGGUUCGGUCAUCAAGACCUACGUCCACGGGAGUUCUUCAGGUUUUACACUAUACUGAGAGUGUGUACAGAUUACAAGUGUUGAGUGAAUAAGAUCAGAUGAUGCUCUUAAUUCAUCCUAAGUUUCUAUUUAUAGGCAUGUAAAAUAAACCCUAAGGCCUUAAACCCCCCACCCCUUAGAUAAUUGGGCCUAAAGCCCCUUAAUGUCUUAAUACAUUUAACUAUAGCUUCUAGCUUUUAGCCCCUUAAUGUGACUGCGCAGGUUCGGAUUCUCUAGGCUGUACAGUGCUUCGGGUACCUUUGACUCGCAGGCACUUCUCAACUGCGCAGGCCCUUCGUAUUCAUUUUAUUAUCCCGAGCCUUUUGUUAAACCUGCGCUGGUUAGUUUACUUAAUAAUAAUAAUAAUAAUAAUAAUAAUAAUAAUAAUAAUAAUAAUAAUAAUAAUAAUAAUAAUAAUAAUAAUAAUAAUAAUAAUAAUAAUAAUAAUAAUAAUAAUAAUAAUAAUAAUAAUAAUAAUAAUAAUGUCAAUCAAGUAAAAUAGACUUGAAUUACUAAGUUCAGCGCUGAUGAGUAUUCCAAUCCUCAUCACAUACACACCACCACUUAUAUACAUAUACACUACACACAUUGAUGUUCGAUGAAAAAAAAUAGCAUUUGUUUAAAAUUAUUGAAACCAUGCGUUUUAAAAUGAUAAACGACAUUUAAAUAGGUCAUUUAAUAUUUUAAAACCCAACAUAACUACGAAAAACAACUUAUUGAUGUUCGUACACUUACAAUUUACAAGCAUCGGUUUAUGAGCGCUGCUUAUAAAUUCAAAAGAAAAGAGUAAUAAAUCGAGCACGUUUAAAAUUUAAAGAUUAUGAAACUUGCCUAAGUCAAAUAGGAUGGGCCUUAAACGAAUAUUUGGGUUAUCCCUUCACAUUUAUUAAUCAUAAUCAUUGUUGAACCUAACUCGAAAUGUUUGGUUCGAGUUAGAGCACUUGGAAAUUUUAAACACUUGAAAUCGUCAUCUAAAUAUUUCAAAAUUAUAUACUAUUAAACAUAAAUUCAAUCACCACAAUACAAAUUUAACAUGAAUAAAUGGUCUAUUAAUUGAUUGUGUUCAAAAUGCCCAAUCACUAUGGAAAUAAAAUUCUAAUAACUAAAAAUAAAAUAAAUAAUAUCAAUACUAACUGAAAAUUCGGCCGGUGUUCGGUUUCAAAUCGUAAUCUUAAUGAAACCAAAUAGAGCUAUACUAUAAUUUCUCAAAUUCCACAAUAUUUUUGUUGCAAUAUACUUUUAUGAGUUUUACAAAAUUUCAAUGCAAGUUUUUUAUUUUAUUAAGCACACAAAUUAAGAAAGGAAUUGACUAUUUUAACCGCACGCGAGCACGAGACUCCCAUUUGAUGAUGAUUAAUUGCAAUUUGCAAUCCAUUUUCAAACUCUAUGAAAAAGAAAAAGAAAAGUUCAAAUGGAUCGCAAACACCAAAUAAAAACUUUUUUAUUUUCUGAUCAGAAAAAAGUGCAACUAAAUAACUGGAAGGUACAAGAAGUACCAAGAGUUACAACAGACAGCAACCAGAAUAGAGAACAAGCCAAACAAACCAGGAAAACACAAAGUCAGGAGCCACCAACGCAUCACGAACUAUCAACUCAAGAUCCCUUCAAGUGAGAGCCAGGAUUGGAGAUCUAAAACAGGCGCCUCCAGCUUAAAAAUCAUUUUCCAACUCCAAAGCUUCAUCUUGAUCUCCAAAACCAAUUUAUCUUUGUUCCACACACCUUGCUUGAAGAUACAGUUAUUUCUCACUUUCCAAAUGCUCCAAACAAUGCUAAUCCACAAACCAGUAAGGAAUCGAGUUUCAGCUUUAUUCCCUAGACCAAUGAAAGCAAGGAAGUGUUCUUUUGCAUUGUGAUGUAAAGCCGAGCUCUUACCAAUCCACCGAAGAAACGCAUUCCAAAUCUCCCCUGUUUUUUCACAAAGAAAGAGAAUAUGCUCCAGAUCCUCCAUCUGAGAAUGACAAAAAAUGCAAUCCGUUUCCGGAGAAGUGUUGAGUACAUGUCUUCGAACGAGGUUAUCGUAAGUAGCCAUUCUUCCUUUCAUAAUCCUCCAAGCAGUCGUUUUUGCUUUGUGUGGAACCGGAGCUUUCCAGAUCUUGGAGAAUUCCUCUUUUUUCCUCUAUGAAUCGGCAGUGGCUGCUUCCCUCCUAAUAGCUUUGUAUGCUGAAUUCACUGUGUAUGUACCAGAUGGAGAAAGUUUCCACCUCCAGUCAUCUUUAACACCUGCAUUCACCUUGAAAAGAUUGAUAACUGUAAGAAGGUUAGAAGCAUGACUCAAAUCUCUACCCCUCAAAUCUCUAGUCCACUCAAGCUUCCACUCCCAAACACCAUCGACCCAAGAGCCCAUAUUCUUGAUGUACCCUUCUUGAUUACCACUCAAUCGGAAAAGACUUGGGAACCUUUCUUUCAAGCUUUUACCCCCCACCCAACAAUGAUUCCAAAACUGUAUAGAAUCUCUCUCCCCCACCUUCAAAUCCAGAUUAUCCCUCAACCAUUUCCCCCCAUCCCCUCUGCUUAAACUAACCACCCUCUUCCACCACCACGAUUUAACCUCUCUCUUUUUUUUCGAAACAAAGGCCCUCACCAUCCACCCGAUCUCCCCCUUACUAGCUUGAAUCACACGAACCCAAAAAGACUCCCUCUCUGUCAACAACCGCCAAAUCCAUUUGGCCAUGAGAGCCUUAUUAAAACUCUCCAAGUCUUUAAUACCCAGCCCUCCCUCUCGAACAUCCUCACCUAAAACCUCCCAUUUAACCCAAUGGAUCUUUCUACACUCUGUUCCUUCUCCCCCCCCACAGAAACCCACUCAUCACUCUACGGCACUCAAGCAAGACACUCUUAGGCAUAAGAGAGAAAGAAAGCUGAAAAAUAAGAAUUGAGAAAAGAACAGAGCGCAACAGCGUAAUUCUCCCGGCAAAAGACAACUUUCGAUUCUGCCAAAAUUUGAUUUUCCUCUUAAUUUUCUCAACUAAAUAGCUCCACUCUGCUACUCGAGACAAACGAGCACCAAUCAAGAUACCCAAAAAUUUAGUAGGAAACUCACCAACUUGACAAUUAAGAGUAUUUGCCAUCUGAACUCUCAAGGGGCUCGGAACUCCAAUCCCAAAAAUAUUGCUUUUAUCAAAGUUAACUUUAAGACCCGACAGAGCUUCAAAAAUUUUCAGGAUACUCUUGAGAACCCAAGCAUUUUCACUUUUCCCGGAGGCCACAAAGACCGUAUCAUCUGCAUACUGCAAGUGGGAGACAGAAAGUCCGUUGCUCCUGAAAACAAACGGUUCCAGCAGCCUUUGAUGAAUGGCUCUAUUGGUGAUCAAAUUGAGUCCUUCCGCAACAAUCAGGAAGAGGAAAGGUGACAGGGGAUCGCCUUGUCUGAGGCCCCUUUCCAAAUGAAACUCACCUGAUGGGCUACCAUUAACUAAGACAUUGGUCGUGGCAGAAACUAAGCAGCCCGAGAUCCAUCUCCUCCAUCGAAGACUAAAGUUCAUCAUAUCGAGCAUCUCAUCCAAAAACUCCCAAUCGACCGUGUCAUAAGCCUUGGCGAAGUCCGCUUUAAACAGAAUUAAACCCUGCUUUCUUCUCUUGGCCUCCUCAAUGAUUUCAUUCACCACGAUGACCCCAUCAAGAAUAUACCUCCCUGUAACGAAAGCACUUUGACAAUCUGAGAUAAUCAAAUGCAUCACCUUUUUCAAUCUUGAGGCCAGCACCUUAGCAAUAACCUUAUAAAGACUGUUGAUCAGAGAAAUAGGAUGAAAAUCCUUUAAAUCCGAGGCAGUUUCCUUCUUUGGAAUUAAAACGAUGAAAGAUGUGUUGCAUCCUCUGGCCAGUUUACCAUUAGAAUGAAACUCCUUCAAGACUCCCAUCAAGUCAUUUUUGAUGUUAUCCCAGCAUUUCUUCAUGAAGAGAAAAUUAAAGCCAUCGGGUCCAGGACUUUUACCUCCAUCACAAUUCCAAAUUGCUUCUUUCGUUUCCUCCUCUGAAAAGGGCGAAUCCAGCCAAUCCCUAAGUUCAUCCGAGAUCUUCCUUUGCACAAAAUCAGUUGGAAUCGUUGGCCUAACUCCUCUUCUUUUCCUGAUCUUCGAAAUGGGUUCUGAUCUCCUGUUUGACCUCAUCUGGUUUAUCAAUCCAGUUGUCUCUGACAUUGAGCCCUGAGAUCUCAUUUUUAAGACGCCUUCCGUUAAUGACUUUAUGAAAAUAGCUACUAUUCACAUCUCCGUCUUUCAACCACCGGUCUCUCGCUUUUUGAGAUAAGAGACUGUCUCUAUUUUUCAUUUGGAGGAGCAAGUUUGUAGCAGCUUCGUUUCUCUUGACAAUCUCAUCUUUUUCCAACCCCAGGGUGUCGUCAAUGACAUCCCAUUCAGUGAUCUCCGUUUUAAGUUUUUCGAUAUUCUGAUCAAUCGAACCAAAACUCUCCUUAUUCCAUUUCUUGAGAUCUUCUUUCAACCUUUUCAACUUUUCUUUGAACACAUAGCAUUUCCAGCCCGAAAAGUCAUUCCUGUUCCACGAUUCUCGAACCAUCCUUUCAAAAUCCGGGUGAUUAACCCAAGCGUUGAUGAACCUAAAGGGUUUCGGCCCCCAAUCCACAUAGUAAAAACUACGAAACCAAAUAAACUUGAAUCUUGGUUAUAGUGAUUAAUCGACGCAUAGCAGUACUGUCGUUUUCGCUUCUUGUUGCUUUCCUCCAAAAUCUCAAAUCUCAAAAGUAUAAUUAUCAGUUACUUAUUUUUAUUUUGAUAAAUUAAUAUUAUUAAAUAAAAAAUUUAAAUUAUCAAUUACUUUUAUUUACUUAUGAGUUGAUCUCCUAUGAAACUAAAUAUAUAAAAAAGACGGGUCGGAAUGGGGCUGGAGCGGAUAACAGGUUAGUUGAAAAGCAUAAAUAAUAUAAAUUGAUAUAGAAUUACUAAAAUAAAGUAUUGGUGUACGUGGCUAAAGCUUCACAUUUUUAACCCAGUGGCAUUUGAUUUAAAACCCACUUAUGCUUUUUUCUUUUCUAUUUUUUUUGUUAUUUUUUUAACAUUUUUUUUUCUAUUUUAUUUUCUGCUUUUUUUCCGGUGUUUUUUUGUAUAUAUAUUUUUUCAAUAUUUUAUUUAUUUCUUCGCUAUUUCAAAAUAAUUAUUGGUAUGAUGAAAAAUAAUAAUCUAUUUUUUCUGUAUUUUAUUUAUUUCUACGCUAUUUUAAAGUAAUAAUUGACAUGAAGAAAAGUAAUGUUUUUGAAACAUUACUUACGACGAUGAUUACUUGAUUAAAUAGCUAAAAGUAUGAGUUUUCGCGAGUAAAAAUAACAUUAGUGUUCCUCAAAUCAAUAAUUACUUUUUCGGACAACAAUAAUUAAUUGACCAAAUACAUAAAGUACAAAUUCUCAUGAAUAAAAAUACAAUUAUCGUGAACAAAUGUAUUAAUUUUGAAAUAUUAUUUUUCUUUAUAUCAAUAAUUAUUUUUUAUUACGAUAAUAAUUACAUGAUCAAAUAUAAUAUACUUCUCUAGUUGAUUUAUACAUUGUGAUACUUUUGUGUGGAUAAUUGUAUGUAUUCAUUCGGAAACUAUAAUUAAUACUCUAAAUCAUAUUUUUUUUUUUUUGAAAAAAAGCAGCAAAGACAAUAGUAAUUUGAAUCAGCAGCAUAUAAUGAAAUAAAGACUCACCAUAUAUUAAAGAAAUAAUCUGAAAUCAAAUCUAUCAUUGAAUUUGAAUCAACACACUCACACACACACACUGAUCACUAAUUUAUCGACAACAAAAUACUGCAACUAACACGGUGUAUAUAUAGCAAUCGAGUACCAUAUCCACAAGGACUGACAGACGAAAAUAUUCUAAGUAAUCCUAAUAAUUCUAUAGGAAUAUUCAGGCAAAAUAAAAAAUAUAAGAUGAAGAAUAAAAAUAAUACUCACAUAAAAUAAUAAAUAAACACAAAUAAAUUAGAUAAAUAAAAUAUUAAUCUUAGGGAUGUAAUUUUGUUAAUCAAAUUCACACAAUUAACUUAAUAAUCCUAAUUACCAAUUUACUCUAGUCCUGAUGAGAGCUCACAUAAAUAACCAUACACUAUCGCUAGAUCAGUUUAUGGUAGUAGAUUAGUAAAUUCUCUAUUUUUGUUAGAUUUCAAGAAAAUCUACUAACUCUAAAAAAUUCACAAGAAUAGCUUCAUAUGAUCCACCUAUCUCCGUUAGGUCUCAAAGUUAAAAUCAUAUCACAUAUUCCUGAAUUCGUUAAACAGUUAUCUCCGCUUGGUCUCAAACUAACACUACAAAAAAACGCGUUUUUACCGGCGAAAACUACCGGCGGCUAUUUUGCCGUCGGUAGAUAACGGCGGCGGCAGUCCAGGCGACCCGAACUUUCGAAUUUACCGGCCAUCUACCGACGGCAAAUUCCCCGCCGUUAGCUAGCGGCGGCGACGCCGCCGUUAAUAUUAAAAUACGCAUUAAAUAAUUUAUUUUAUAGAUUUAACGGCGGCAAAAUUGCCGCCGCUAGCUAGCGGCGGCAUUUGCCGUCGGUAACCGUUUAAAUAUAGGGCAGCGGGUUCCUUCUUUUUUCAGUUUCUGCGCCGCACACACACACGAAAAUCCACCCCCCCCCUCCCCUGCCUGCUGCUGCUGCUUCGCCGCCGCCGCCGACCGCCGCCGCCCUAGCAGGUAUCUCUCUCUCUCUAGAUCUAUAUAUAUAUAUAUAUAUAUAUAUAUAUAUAUAUAUAUAUAUAUAUAUCUCAUUAAUUUUAAUUAUAUAUAUAUAUAUAAUUAUAUAAUUUUCACUUAUAUUAUUUAUUGUAGUUCGACGACCUCGUUUCACCGCCUUCUUCACGACACCCACCGGAAACCACCACCGUACGCUCUCUUAUUUAUUUAUUUAAUUAUUUAAUUAUGAAUGUAUUUAAUUAUAUAUUAAUUAAAUAGAUUUAUUUGUUAUAUAUAGUUAAUUAAUUUAUAAUUGAUUUUGUUUAUAACUAAAUUAUAUGAAGCAUGAUUAAUUUUAAAUUAUAUUAAUCCAUUUAAUAUAUGUUGUUAGUUUAAUUUUAAAUUAUGAAGCAUGAUUAAUUUUAAAUUAUAUUGUAAGCAUGUUUAAUUUUGUUAGAAUAAUUUAUAUAUGUUGGAUAAUUUUGUUAAAUUAAAUGUUAUGUGCUAUGUGUUUAUGAAAUGUUAUAUUAUUAUAUAUAUAUAUAUAUUGUGGGAUAGAUUUAAUCAAUUUCUUAAGGAUCUUCUCCUUUGGGAUAGAAAUUGAUUAUUUCUUAAGGAUCUUCUCCCUACAAAUGAUUUGUUUUUAAUUUAAUUACCAUGAUUUUUAUUGCUUUUAUUUGUAUUGUAUUAUUGCUUCGACAGUUUGGGGGGUCGGGUAGACCUAGUAUAGGCUUAGUAAAUUAGGACCACUAUGGUCACUAUAGUUGCUGGUAGAGUCGAGCACUUGGUAGUUAAGGAUAGUGGGGGUUAUGCUGUCGUAAAUUUGUUAGAUUUUCAAGUUAAUUUAUUAUGUUUUAUUGUUUUUUUCAAUUAGAAUUUGCAGAAUGAGUGAUAAUCGUACGUGGAUGUACGCGAGAUACAAUGAUCGUACCGCAUUUGAAACGGGGCUUGAGUUUUUCCUUGAGUGGGCGUUCAAUCAAACGGCGUACACAGAUGGACAAGGUAACAUUAGGUGCCCGUGUAAGAAGUGCAAGAAUCAAGCGUAUUUAGAUGUACCUACGGUCAGAGAACAUGUUAGUAGGCGUGGAUUUGUCCUGAAUUACAAAGUUUGGGUUUGUCACGGGGAAGCACCGCUGUCUAUGCCGAGAGAACAUGCUGUAAUGAAUGAGGAUGAUGGAUUAUACAAUAACUACGAAAGGAUGGUGCAUGACCAUGCUGGACCUAGUAAUUAUCAAGAUCCUCCAAAUCUGGAGCAGCCGCCCAAUAAUGACGCUCAACAGAUUUAUAACAUGUUGGAUGCAGCGGAUACUCCAUUGUACGCAGGAUGUGANCAGUGUGAUACAAGUACAUUACGCUAUUUCAUUACAUAUGAAAUUUAUUUACCCCAAAAAAGAAUUUGUUUAAUAGCUCAUUUCAUUCCAAUUAUAUAGGCUUAUUGUAAAAAUUAAAAAAAUUAUUGAAAAAGAAAAUUAACAAAUAAAAUUUAUAAUACACUCAUAUAAUUUAUUCUUUGACAAUGAAUUAAUAUUAGAGUCAAUCAAAAACAUAGUUAUGGGUAUAUUAGUAAAUGAAUUAAAAUAACAUAAAGUUUUAUUAAAGUUGUUGGGUGGAUUUUAGCCACAACAUAAAAGAGUAAAAAAAUAAUAGGAAAAUAACAAAAAUUUGGUGCAAAAAUAGAAGAAUCUAGCAGAGGAAUAUCAUGAUUCUAGGAGAUUCUUUGAUAUCUAAUUUCUUUGAUUAGAAUAUUGGUGAAAUCUUGAGAUCACGAACGAAAAAACUUAGGUCGAUCAAUGUAAACAUAAGUGAUAAAAGUAAUGGAAUAGUAGGGAGUGAAAAUAAAGAAAUUAUAUUACCGAAGGAUGAUUACAAGAGUAAGUAACUUUUGGAAGUGUGUGUGCAUGUAUGAAAAGCAAAAACUCUAUUUAUAAGCAAUUUUAGGUUAAGGGGCAAUUAUUAUGUUUUCAAAUAUGGACGUGUAGCAUUAAUUUUGCCAUUUCAAGUUCUUCACGCGCAAAACUCUUAAGUCAAAAUCGCCUUCUCUUAAGUUCAUGUGUAAAGAAUUAAACAAUUGUGCUAGCAAAAAUCACAUCUCUGAAAUCUUUGAAUCAACGACUUUAUUUAUCCUCAACAUUGUAGAUCUUAUUACAGACCUAAUUUGGCUCGAUCCUGUUGUAAGUCGGCCUCACUCCUCUGACCAUCGUUUUUGUUCUAAUCAGAGCUGAAAAUUAAUGGUGAGCUUAAAAUCUAUUAUGAUUAAAAUAGUUAUCUGAUUUCGAAAAUUAAUAAUAAGAAAUUUUAAUUAUUAAAUAAUCAAUCUUACUGAAAUUUAAAUCUCAAGAUAUAAACAUGAUUAUGAGACAAACAUUUAACAAUUGUUACCUAUAUUUUGGUGUUUUGGUGUAUCUUUCACUUUAAUAGGACCUUCUUACCUCACACAUCCAAAGUUUCCAUGAAACACAAGGACGGGUUAGCGGAAAUAGACCGUCUGGAAAGGGGCCUGUUACUGGACGGCGGCCCGGAUUCCGAGCCGGCCGGCCACGACGAGCAAAUCGACGGCGACGAAGACGAGCUGCCGCCCCUUUACACGGCGUCGUUUGGCGAAACCGAAGAAAAUUUCGUGAAAUACCAGACGACGCGAUGGGUUCUGUACUCGCUGCUGUUGAUACUGGCGUGGGGCAUCGGCUUGUUCAUGCUGAUUUAUCUGCCUCUACGCCGCUACAUUUUGCGCAGAGAUAUCCGCUCGCGGAAGCUCUACCUUACUUCGGAUGCAAUUGUGUAUAAAGUAAUUCCGUCUCAUCUUAUUUCGCUGUUCUUAACUUUUUCUGAUAUCUUCUACUUUGGCUGAGUUGCUUCCUUCUUAGCUGUGCCGUUGAUUUUGUUGCGAUGUGUUUCGGGAUUGGAUGGAUGCAACUUUUGAGGUGGUUGAGGUUUUAGCUAUGUUUGAAUUAUUCGAUUUUCUGUGUGUUACUUGACCAGUUUUGAUCAGCUCAGAUAUUCACCUUUUGGGAUUCAGGAACUUAAUUAGGUUUAGGUAACAACUGAAUUGCCAAUAAAAGUGGAUUUUCUGUAAAGAAUAACCUGUAUAGUUUCCAAUUUAUUCUUAUAGUGAUAAGUGAAGGAUAGAAGCUGAGGAAGAGAGGAGAAAUAUCUGACAUCUCGUCUCUCCCUCUCUCUCUCUCUUGGUUUUUUAAAUCUUUUCUUUGGUUGCAUCAGGUGAGAAGACCGGUGUCAUUUCCAUGUUUCGGGGUUCUGAAGAAAGAGAAGCAUGUCUUACUGCUUUCAGUGGCUGAUGUUGCAAUAGAACAGGGUAAAGCUUCACAAAAUUGAUCUUCCAUCUGUUUUGGUCAAAUACUCGAUUUGUGCUUUUCUUUCGGAUUCUUUAAUAUUGCGAAAAUCAUGAAAGUCUUCAAUUAAUUGACAUUGCACUUCCUCUUAUGUUCGUAAUGUCUGAAUCAAAGCCUAGCCAAAUGAGUAAUCGUAAGCAUUAUAUUGAAAACCCUGAACAAAAACUGUUACUUUCGGUAUUGUUGUGAACUGUUUGUAUGGAGUAUGGUUCAUCUUUCUAAAGUGUGUCUAGGGCACUGCUCGCUCCAUCUGUUUUGCUUCGUAAUUUUCUUUUUAUGGAAGAUUUUAAUGAUGGAUUAGCUGGUCUCUAUGUUUAUCUGCUGUGUCUGAGCUUCCAUGGCAUCCUUUUGCAUUCUCCUAAUCAAUAUUCUAUUUGUUCAUUUUAGCAAAUUUGAGUUGUCUUCACCAUAUCAAAACCAAGUUAUAAAUGCAAUUGAGAUAUUUAUCAGGAUAUCUGCAGUCCCUUUUCGGUGUAUACUCUAUUAGAAUAGAGAAUGUUGGAGUGAGAAGGCCUCCAAGUGAUGAUGUUCAAAUACAAGGGGUUACUGAUCCUCAUGCUUUCAGGAAGGUAUUAUUGUGCUCAAGGAGUCACAUGCACAUUAUAAUCAUGGUUUAGUUCUCCUAGAAAGCAUUGGACAUCGGACAUUCAUUGAAGACAUCUUGAGUAAUACCAUUUCUUACCAUCUCCAGGCUGUUCUAUCUCAGCUGUCUACCAUGAGAGGUGAGGUGUUCUCCAGACAUGUAUCUACUCUUGAUGAUAAUCCAACUCCAUGUACGGGUCAUUCUUCAGUUGCUUCGGUAUGUUAGUGCUACUAAUACUAAUGCUGAGCUUGUCAUUCAUAGAGAUUUUUUUUCAUUCUGCUCUGUCACUCUCUCUCUCUGCUACAAACAAACAUGCACACUGUCACAUGCUGAGUUGCCCAGUGAUGCCAAUAAAGAGACAUUCUUGGCAAAUAGUUUUCAAUGAGUUAUUGUACUUCCACCUUAUGGUGUUUUCCCAAAAAAAAAAAGUGAGUUAUUGUACUUGCCCUUUGUGGUAUAGUAUUUUUUAACUCGAUCAAUAUUUUUAAGGAGGUCUACUUCUGGUUUCUUUAUUUAUAUGUCUUGCUCCCACCAAUCCAUAAACAACUUUUACCAAUUGGUUUUUUUUUAAUCUAAUAAACACUUUUACUCCGCUCUUUCUUGGGUUUGGCAGAUGUCCCCUUCAAAAUUGAGGCGUGAUUCUUUUCCUCACCUUGGUGAAGUGGCGAUUUUGCAAAAAUUAGAGGAGGUUGGCAGUUCAGUGAAGGUUAGUAAAGUUACCAAUUCUCUGUAUAUUCAAUUCUGUGUGUUUGUUUUUGUCUUUACGUGGAAUAAAUUGCAGAGAGUCCAAACCUUGAUUGAAGAGCAGAAGCUUCAAGCAUCGGAACUUGCAGAAUGAGAGUUGAGGUGAACUCCCUGAGUGUGACGAAUUAUCUGCUAUCAGCAAAUGCAAAGCAUUUCCAUCUUUCAGAAGUUGAGUUGCUACUAGAGUCCAUAUUUCAGAAAGCUAACACCUAAAGAUAAUGAAAAAGAAGCCGCGUGAUAACCAGUUACCGGCUUGCAGAUUAUCAAUACUGUCAGAUUGUUGCGCCCUCCAGUUCAUCCUUAUUUGCCUCCUGAAGAGUGAGCGCUGGACUUUAAACUGCUAAGAUGAAUAUGCUGCUUUCUCUCGUUUAGUUGUAAUAAUCAUAAUUAUUUGAUCUUCCAAUCUUGACCAUGUUGUACAACUCGUUGAUUUGAAGUUUCUAUCCCAUGCCAAAGCUUGUGAACCUAGUUUGAUGCAUGUUCUACAUAUACGAGCAGCAGAUUGAUUCUAGUGAGUGAAAAAGUUUGAUCUUUUAGAUGUAAAACAAUCCGAAUUCCAGUGAAAGUAAUGAUCUUCUACUAGAGUCCAAAUUGUGUAAGAUGUUGCGUCAGUUAUAUAUGCUCGAGUAUAGAUGGGAAUGCUUGAUUUUUUGAAGGGUCGUUCUUAAAUUAUAGCCGAGAACUUCGAUCUCAUACCGACUUUUUAGUUCCAACUUAAAAUUUUCGGCCAAUUUAAGCUAAUGCGUCUUUAAGAAAUUAUCAUCAAAAUCAAUGAUAUACCAACAAACAUAAUUUUGAAAUUGUCAAUUUUUCGGUUCGAUUAUACUAGUUUUUAAGAAAAAAAUGUUUGGUAAAUUGAAAAUCGAGCCGAAAUAAUAAUUAAUUUAAUAAUUUAUACAUAUAUAUUUAAAAAUUAAAAUGAUUGUUAUUACUAUUCAAUAAAAUAGUAAAUAAUUAUUCUUAAUUUAUACUCUUAAUCUUGGUCAACUAAAAAAAUUAAAGUAACUUUUCAAUAAUUACUCUUAAUUUUUGGUUAAGAUGUUUUGAAAUAUUGAAUUAUUAUUUUUUGUGGAUUUCGAUUCUUAUAUAUUAAAUGUUAAUUAGUUAUUUAAAUUUUAGAAAAUAUAUUGUGUAUUUACUUCGAUUAUUUUGGUUUUAACUGGAACUGAAUCGAAAUAUUUCGAUUCGAUUUUGUUCGGUUUUAGGCAUGUUUGGUUCGGAUUUGGAUAUUAAUUAUAUAAUUUGGUUUUAAUUUGAUUUUUACUAUACAGUUCGAUUCGGUAACCGAAUAAUCGAAUGCUCAUCCCUGUUUUUAUACCAUAACCUUGUUCUUUUAAAUAUCUAUUUUAAAAGAAAUAGAUUAAGGGAGUAUUUUUAAAUAUCUUUGUCCUUGUUUUGAUGAUACCAAAACCCUUAGAUUUUCCUUUACUAGACUAGAAUAUUUUGAACCCAAGUGUUAGAGUUCAGUUUACUAGUUAGAUUGAUGGAUGAAGACUGAAGACCGCUAGAUUGAAGAUUAGAGGACUGAAGACACAUGACUGAAGAUUGGAAUUGAAAAGGCUGAAGACAAAAUACUAAAGUAUUUUGAAGGACGAGCUCUCACUGAAGAUUCAGUUAUGACUGAAUAACUAAUGCUGGCCACGUGGAAAUAACGAACUGAUACAUAAAUCAAGUAUCAGUAGACAUUCUUCCUCGGAUUGAACACUUAAGUUUAAAAGAAGCCACGUAUUCACGCCAAGUACAGCUGCAUUAAAUGCGAAGAUAUGAAGAUCGUCCUCGCCUGCGCAAAGCUUUCCUAUUUCGUGCUAACUUUUCAGAAGCACCAUGCUGCUACUGCUAGAGACGCUCAUUCCUCAACCAAUCAGGAACCUUGAAGAUUGAAGCCUCAACCAAAGAUUCAAAUCUAUCUCACAACGGUCGAAUUCUUGAAGACCAUCUCACCAACGGAUCUAUUCAAGACUUCGCCUAUAAAUAGAGCUCGAGGAUCGCCUUCAAUCUUUACCGAUUCAAACACUCAAGCUGAAGCUCUGCCAAAUUUGCGACUCAACCUAUUCACUGCAUUCCAAAGUUUGAAUCAAAGAAGAGAAUAUCCAAAGCCAAAUCAGUUUACUGAUUACUUAAAUUCUCUUACAAUCUUAGGCAAUCUCAUUGUAAACCCUUAGCCUAAGUCCCGAUUACUGAGAGUCUGUUCUCUGUAAUCUAGUUGGUACUCGAACCCUUUUCUAAAAGAGCAAAAAGUGAGUUUGAAAGAGAGAAUUCUAGACAGUUGUCUGAACUCAAGAGUUCUUAGCCCCUGCUUGAGAUAGCUCUUGAAAUCAGCCCAACUUGGCGGGAGCUUCUCGAUGACUGACCCAGCGGUGAAAGCUUCGGGCAAGUUCAUUCCUUCGGACGCCAGCUCGUGCAAGAUGAGUUGGAACUCUUGCACUUGGUCCAUGAUCGAUCGACUAUCGACCAUCUUGAAGUCUAAGUACUUCGCUAUUACAAAUUUCUUUGUUCCCGCAUCAUCACUACGGUACUUCUUUUCUAGUGCCUCCCAAAUUUGCUUGGAGGUCUUUACAUUGGCAUAUACAUUAUAUAAGCUAUCCUCUAAGCCCCCCAAAAGGAAAUUCUUACAAAUGUAGUCUCCAUUGCACCAAUUGUCAUACUCGGCACGCACCCCAAAGCUGGUCUCGUUUUCUGCAGGCACAGGAGGCUCGUCUUCCCUCAAGAAAUUGACAAAGCCCAACGUCGUGAUGUAGAACAUCAUCUUUUGUUGCCACAUCUUGAAGUGUGACCCACCAAAUUUAGGUGGCUUUUCAGCUGGCGGCAACAUCCUUGAAGACUGUAGCGGCGCCGAAACAGUUCCACUCCCGGAACCACCAGAUUGGAAUGAACCAAACGUGAACCCCGACAUAGUCGGCCAACAGAACUAGUUCCAUUCCCAGAACUACCAUCUCCUCUAAGGCUGGUUUGAAAUGAACCAAAAUUAAAUGGCAAUGGAGUAGGACCUCCAAAAUUCAUACCAGCAGACCCGCCAGAGUAGCGGAAGCAGUGGCAUAGGUGGAUGCAUCAACAGUUGAGUUGACAGUGGCGGCAGCAGUGCCGGAGGUAGCAGCAGCAGUAGGAGGAGGCGGCGGCAGCGGCAGCGGAGUCGGAGGUGUUGGUAGGAGUAGUUGACAUUUUCAGUUAUAACAGCAACAUGUACUAUCUCGUCUUGCGAUUGUUGGAUAGUACACCCGUGAAGCACAAUACAACUUAAACAAAGCAAAAUUACAACGGAAAACUGGAAAUGCACUUAAAAUAAACUAGAACAAACUCAAAGCCGAGUCGAUGAGUCCUCUCUCCGCAAGACGAGAUACGCCCCAGUAGUGCUCACGGUAAGGCGUGUUGUCCCCAAUGAUGAAACGGCUUUGUCCUUCAAAGUAGCAACACCGUGAACUAAGAAGGCUCCGACGAACUAGAUGAGACGAGAAUUGAGCUUUAUGCUCCUACGAAUGCAGCUAGGAUGAUGAUAUGAGAUGGAGAGAAGAGAGAACUUGUGUGUUUGUAUGUUCUACUCCAUCAACAAAUGAGGCUAUAUAUAGCCACACCAUGGGAGGUGAAAGGCCUUAGCUUUCAUGAUGCCAUCAUGGCUAGCCAUUAACCAUUGGUGGUUACAGCAGCUGAAAGGCCAAAGGUAUUGGCAGUUACGACAGCUCAAANUAAAUAGCGAAGAUAUGAAGAUCGUCCUCGCCUGCGCAAAGCUUUCCUAUUUCGUGCAACUUUUCAGAAGCACCAUGCUGCUACUGCUAGAGACGCUCAUUCCUCAACCAAUCAGGAACCUUGAAGAUUGAAGCCUCAACCAAAGAUUCAAAUCUAUCUCACAACGGUCGAAUUCUUGAAGACCAUCUCACCAACGGAUCUAUUCAAGACUUCGCCUAUAAAUAGAGCUCGAGGAUCGCCUUCAAUCUUUACCGAUUCAAACACUCAAGCUGAAGCUCUGCCAAAUUUGCGACUCAACCUAUUCACUGCAUUCCAAAGUUUGAAUCAAAGAAGAGAAUAUCCAAAGCCAAAUCAGUUUACUGAUUACUUAAAUUCUCUUACAAUCUUAGGCAAUCUCAUUGUAAACCCUUAGAAGAAGACCCGAGUACUGGAGUGUUCUCUUCAACAAAAUAGGCAAUUAAACCCACACCAAAAGAAGACAAAAAUAGAGUUGAAAGAGAGAGAAUUCUAGAUAGUUGUCUGAACCAAGAGUCUUAGCCCCUGCAAGUAAGACGUCUUGUCGUUGCAACAGCUGAAAGGAGAUGAGAAGUCCAAUCCAGUAUCAUUUCCCACUCACCAGAAAUUGGUUUUGAGACAAUGAAAAUACUGCGAUUUAUCUAUAUAAAAAAUAUAGAAUAAUCAUAUUAUAUUUGAUCCUUUAGGAAUUAAAUAAACAACCACCACAAAUUAGUUAAGUAUAAAACAUACAAAACUAAUUUCCAACAUCGCUUUCAGUUAUUGAUUUUCCUCUGCUUUGUUCAAACUCUAUAUCCAAGUGAAACUGGUUAAUUGAAAAGUGAAACUUAAAAAUUGACUAAGUGUUAAUCACAAAGGCUAUUUCUUAAAGUUUAAUUUUGGUUGUGGUGUUAUCAGUCUAACUGACAAACCCUUGGAUAGUCAGUAAAAUUUAUAACACUUAUCUGAUUUCAAAAUCUAGACUGAAACCUUCUAUGGAUUAUCAGUUAUCGCUUCGUGUUUCACUGAAAUCAAAUAUUGAAACUAUUUUAGUAUCAGUCUAACCAUUUUUCUAAACUGAAAUAUCUUUGAUUGUUGGCUUCAAUCAGUCAGUACUCUUUCAGUAUCAGGUGAUACUCAUUUCAAUUUUACAAAUUUUUUUUCGAAAAUAACUCACUGGUGUGUUCCCCCUACAUCAGUUCAGUGACCCUCCGAGAUCCAACGCCUUUCAAAUUAGAAGGUCAAAUAGAUUUGCUAUUGAGCUAUGAGCCCACCAAACCUGAAACCAGGCUAAAGAUUUUAGAAAACCAAGGUUUUUGGUGAGAGAGAGAGAACAGACUUCAUCUCAGUUCUGUAUAAACAGUGUAAUGACUCAGGUCAGGCGUCUCAGGUACUGCUGCAAAAAAAUCCAAAUAUUUAUUGUUCAAAGAAAACUAAAAAGAAAAAAGAAAAUAAAUAAAUAAAUGACGAUACUGAAUACUUCUCUCUCUCUCUCUCUCUCUCUGCGGCUCUCUGUUUCUCUCCCUCUCUCUCUCUCUCUCCAGAUUCAAUCAAUGAAAACCGCCCUCUCGUUAUCGUUAGUUUCACCAUCGUUAUUUCAAAGCACACACGUCACUCCUACCUUACUCACUCUACGUACUACAUAAGAGAGAGAAAAAUUGACCACAACAUAUAUAUAUAUAUAGAUACAUAUAGCUAGUGUAUGCUUACUACAGAUAGAUACAGGAGAUACACAGCCAUAGAUUCUGUAUAGCGGUCGAGUAUUGGCGGAGAGCGGAUUUCGAUGGCGGCGUCAUCGGUGAUGUGCUCUUGGCUAAUGGCCGCAUGCAUGUCCGUCGCCUGUGAGAGAGAAUCCGGCGUUUCUACGCUGUCGACGAACUCACCACGCCCCACCAACCGCCGCAAGAGGCUUCUCGCCAAAUGUGAGCCGCGCAUUGGGAAUCUCAUGAAUUCCUCUCUUACCUUAAAGCCCCUCCACCACUUGGAUAAAUCUCACGAAUGUUUCUUCGGCUUCGAAUCGAGGAAUGUUCCGAUGCAGCGCGGCCGCCGGAAAUUCCUCCGCCCCUCCGCCCUUUCUGGUGCAGUGCUCUUGCUCAUUAUUGUUCUGUGCUAGUGUAUGUAUUCUGUGUGUGUCUGUGUGCGUGUUUUCUUUUCCCGAUUCCGAUAACUGUUCGAUCAUGUUUGGAUUAUUAUUCUAAUUCAUUUGUGGUCCUCCAUGGAUUUUAUUAAAUUUUGACUUAAUUUACUUCUUUCCCCCAAUUUAUUGUCAAUGGCCUGAUUAUGAAUUUUAAAGUUACUUUGGGAGGAUUCGUUUCAAUCAGUUCUUAGUUUUUGAAUUUUGUUUUGGACGGAUAAACUGGAAGUUGUACUAUGUUUUUCUCCAUACUUUAUUGCAUAUUUCUUGUAUCAGCUUCAUUGGACUGGUGGCUCGCAUUGUGGUGCAGUUGUUGCUCUAACUUCACUAAUACAAGUGAUGCUAACCUACUUUCUGAGUAAAAUUUUGGGUUUUGUGGUGGGUGGGUGCGAUUGGGUUCAGUUAGGUUUGCCAAUUUGUAUGUUGUCGCUUUCCCUUUCUCAUCCCAGCAAUUUCAGUGUACCUGAGAGUUUGACAGCUAGGGGUCAAUGGGCAGUUCAUCUUACUCUGGACAUUUAGUAUUAUUCAUUUCUUAGAGUAGGGACUCUACAAAACACUUUAGCUAUGCUUUUCUUAUGCAUUUUAUGAGUUUACCUGUGCUAUUAGUGGAUAUAUACAUAUGUACAUGGAUAUAUUAAUUUUUGUUAUUCCUAUGUGAAAUACAGGAGAAACGAUGGCAGUAGCUGUAAGUCCGGCCAUGGAAGUUUCACCCAAAAAGAAACCUCCAACCAAGCAAAGACGUGUGGUUGUGACAGGUAUGGGUGUGGAGACACCACUUGGCAGUGAUCCAGAUGUCUUCUAUAAUAAUCUGCUAGAUGGAGUCAGUGGAAUUAGUGAGAUAGAGGCUUUUGAUUGCUCGCAGUUUCCAACCGUAUGUCUUGAGCAUAUCUCCUUUUCAUUGUUUCAGGAUAGUUAGAUUUUGUUACUAAGGGGUUUCAAUUGCAGAGAAUUGCAGGAGAAAUCAAGUCAUUCUCAACAGAUGGCUGGGUUGUACCUAAACUUUCCAAGAGAAUGGACAAGUUCAUGCUUUACAUGCUGACAGCAGGAAAGAAGGCAUUGGCUGAUGGAGGAAUUACAGAGGAUCUCAUGAAUGAACUGAAUAAAGCAAAAUGUGGUGUGCUAAUCGGCUCUGCUAUGGGUGGAAUGAAAGUAAGUUUAGUUUUUUAUUUGCUUAACAUCGAAUAGAGAAGGUGGCUGGGUAUUAACUUGUUUUGAGAGCCAAGCUAUAAAUCUUAUUAGAUAGUUUGCUUGCUGCUCAUAUUGAGUUUUGGCCUUGUAGUUAAAAUCCAAUUUUCUGCUAUCUGGUUCACAUGCAUGUACUUUCUUCUUGAGAUUACAGACUGGAACCAUUUGUAUACUUUAUGUUUCAUCAAAUGAAAAUGAGAAUGUCACAUUUGGUCUGGCGGGGUACUUUUCUUUAGUUCUGCAGUUUCAAUAGCUGCUUAAAGUUCCACCAUAGUGAUCUAAAUGCUUAAGGCUUGUAAGAUAUGAUGUUCUUUCCUACAGUUUUGGUUGAGAUAUUUUCUAUCACAGUACAGUUUGCCCCCUCUCUCAGUGGGUUUUGUAUUUGUACAGGUUUUUUAUGAUGCAAUUGAAGCAUUGAGGGUCUCAUAUAGGAAGAUGAAUCCAUUUUGCGUCCCUUUUGCAACUACCAACAUGGGUUCUGCCAUGCUUGCUAUGGAUCUGGUUAAAUAAAUUCCUUCUCUUUUUACUUUUGUGGUUUGGAUAAUGCAUAACGCGUGACAUCAUCUUAAGCUUAAUUAUUACAGGGAUGGAUGGGUCCAAACUACUCCAUAUCUACUGCUUGUGCAACAAGUAACUUCUGCAUACUAAAUGCUGCUAACCACAUCAUCAGAGGUGAAGCUGUAAGUCAUCUGAUUUCCUCUUUCAAUAUCCAGGCUAGUGGUUUUCAUUCCCGGCUGUUAUGCAUCGAUUGUUUGGUGAACCAACAGGGAAAUUCCCAAAGAUAGUGAGUUAUGUCUUUCUCCUUGCCUGAUUCAUCAGACUGUUGAUAUUUUUCAGGACAUGAUGCUUUGUGGUGGCUCAGAUGCAGCAAUUAUACCUAUUGGUGACUAUCCUUUCUCUUGUUCAUAAAUUUCAAAUUUGAUUUUUAAGCGUCUUAACCAUCAACUCUGGUGUAGGCUUGGGAGGCUUUGUUGCAUGCAGGGCAUUAUCACAACGAAACAGUGAUCCAACUAAAGCCUCACGCCCCUGGGAUAGUGUAAUGUUCUGUUCAUUUUAUCUGUAUCAUAUGUGCAUAAAUUUGAUAGAAAACAUCAUCUAUCUGCAGAAAUGUUCAUGCCUCGCAUGCUCACAUUGCUGCAUUUUCUGGAAGCUAGACUACAAAAUGAAAAUGUCAUUUAUCUCUUUAUCUAAUAAUUGUAUCAGUACUUUUGGUUACUUUAUCUUCAUUUCCUUGUAAGAUAAAUUUUAACUCUUGAUACCAUCGAAGAACCACAUAUAGCUUAACCACUCAAUAGUACUCCCUCCGUCCCACUCCAAAUGUCUCCUUUCUUUUGGGCACGGAGAUUAAGAAAUGUGUAUAAAGUAGAUAAAGUGGGUAUAAAGUAGAUAAAGUGGGUUGGUGGAAAUUGUUUAAAUAUUAAGUAUAGAGAGAGAGUGUAUUGCCAAAAAAGGAAAUGGGACAUUUGGAGUGGGACAACCCAAAAUAGAAAAUGGGACAUUUGGAGUGGGAUGGAGGGAGUAGCAUUUUGUAACAACUUAUGUGGACUGGCAUGGUAUUGUGGUGGCUGUAUAAUUAUUACAAUACAGAACUUUUGAGUGGCCAAAUAUAACAUUUCAAUAUCCAUGAUCUCAGUUCUCACCCAACUGCUCAACUUGCAAGCCUGCAGUAUGUGGUGGUAGAAUAAGAGCUAGUUAGAGCCCUGCUGUUCUUGGUUCUCAUGUGUCACUUUAUAAAAUUAUGUGUAAUAUUUGACAGAGUCGUGAUGGAUUUGUUAUGGGAGAAGGUGCUGGAGUACUGCUCCUGGAGGAACUUGAACAUGCAAAGGUUUUUCAAAGCUGUCAACCUUAGCAAGACUUAAUCUUUUACAUUAUAUGCAGGAAAUUUUCGUGAUGGCUAAUAAUUUUUACAAAAUUACAUGUCAAACCAUUUAUGGAUGAGCAGAGUAGAGGUGCAACUAUCUAUGCUGAGUUUCUUGGAGGAAGCUUCACUUCUGAUGCUUAUCACAUGACAGAGCCUCACCCACAAGGUAUACCCCUUGAUUUACUUUGAGCUGUACAAGUUAUUUUGUGAAUGAAGAGAAUUCAAGGUUGCGGAUAUAUGAGUUAUGCGAUACAGCUUCAAUUCAAUGAGUAAGACUGUCAGAGAAAGGGGGUGAACUGUCAACAACUCUCUACGUAAUUAGUUGCCAUCUGCAGAAACUAUUAACUACCAAACCCUACACACUGUACCCACUCUAGCAAAUAUACAGUCAAUAUUUGUUGUUUUAAAUUUGAGUGCAAGAAUUGUCUCAUCAUUAGGCCAUUUCAUCUAUUCCAGAAACAAGUAAAUUGUCCUUUCAACACUACGAACUUAUUUUGUAUCACAUGCUGUGGCAAUUAUUUUGCAAGUUAUUCCUUGAUAUUGAAACGAUGGAUUUGCUGGAAAGUUUGAUUUUGGGGUAGUGAAUAUUGCAAAUAAUCAUAAACUUAGUUAUAUAAUAUAUUGCAUAUAAAUUUGUUUCUGGAAGAGUCUUCUUGUAUGUUUCUUGAAAAAGUUUGGAAUUUAUUAGGAGCUAAUGUAUUAAGAUAUUUAACUGAAUUUCUUAAAGAAACACAAGAAACAUAAAAAGACUAAUACCCAAAGCAAUUAAAAUUGUUGGGUUGCUUCCUAUCUAAAUCCAUAGUAAAACUUUGGUUUUCUUUCGGGCCGAUGUGUUCCCAAAUGAUAUUUGUUCAUUCUUACAGUUUGUACGAAACAAGCUACCAGCACCUCUCUUCAGUGCUCUCUUAAAAUUGCCAAAAAGUACAACAAAAAACUUGAAAGAAGAUGGUUUAGAUAUUUAAUCUUAGGUCAAUUGCAUUGUCACUAUGCUAGUUCUACCAUUUGAGCAAUUAAUAUAGAGAGACCUAACAAAUUUUACUUCACAGAAUAACUAAGAACAAACUGCAGCUAUAUUUAUGUUUGACCUUUUCAAAUUUUCUGAUGAGUACUUAAAAUAAUUAUAUUAUACACAUAAAAUAAAACAAGUGAGCUUGCCCUUUUAAACAGCCUGGAAAUUUUCACUUUACUGUUUUAAUUCUAUAGUUGUAAUUUUGUUUGCAUUUAUCCAUGGGAUAUGCACAUGGAAACUUAUUUUUCAUGAAUUUGGACAUGAUAUUUGCAUCUUUAAAACUGCAUGGCAUGCCCUAUCUCUGGUCAUUUUCCAGAACAGAACUCAUUAACUGUGGGCUGUUUCAUAUACAUUGCUCAGUGAAUGUAUCAAUUGAAUUGUUUAUCAUUAUCCAACUACUAUAACCUCAAAGAUGAUACAUUUUGACUACCAAAUGGAACAAUUAAAUUAUGAGUAAUGAAAAUGCAGAAGCAUUAUGUAACAUCUCUGGGAUGGAUAAUUGCUAGAUUUUCAUCAGUUUAUUCCAUUGACAGAUUGACUGAUAAUUUUGCUCUAUCUGGAUAGUUACUAAUUUGCUGUAUUUAGAACAGGUAUUACAUAUUGGUCCUAAUAGUUAUCUUGUGUGUUCUCUUUGGAUGUUGAGCUGUUCCGAUCAAGUUCAACUUCAACUUCUGCAGUAUACAAAUUAGAAGUAAUCAGGCUUCUGAAUAUGGUAGUGCCUGCUGCCAUGUGUUUUGACCUCCUGACCUUAUCUACAAGCAGGAACUGGUGUCAUUUUAUGCUUAGAGAAGGCUUUGGCUCAAUCAGGAGUAUCUAAAGAAGAUGUGAAUUAUAUAAAUGCACAUGCGACUUCUACUCCAGCUGGUGAUCUUAAGGAGUAUCAGGCUCUUCUUCAUUGUUUUGGCCAGAAUCCAGAGGUCUCCUCAUUUACUCAAACUCUUUCAUCUAUCGAUAGCAAGGUGUUUGUACAGAUUGUGGCUAAUCCUAAUAUUUUUUUAGUUGAGAGUGAACUCCACAAAAUCCAUGAUCGGGCACCUACUUGGAGCAGCUGGUGCUGUUGAGGCUGUUGCAACCGUCCAGGUGCCUGAAAUAUUUAGUUUUUUUGCACAGGGUUCUAAUACUUCGGCAUAACUUUGAUAUAUUCAUUUGCAGUACUCUUCAUAAGGAUAUAUGCAUUGAAAAAAGUGAGUGUCUUAUAGAUAUUUGCUAAAGUAGUAGGAGUUAUUGACUUAUUGUUAUUAUAAUAUAUUUUUUAAAAUUUUCAUUUCCUUUCUGGACUUCUCUCUUGCCCAAGUUGGCGACUGGGUGGCACUUGGCCUUCCCAAUCUCCUAUGUGGGAAAAGGGACCAGAUUUGUAGUAAUUUAAAUUAAGGGAUGGAGAUAAAGUUUUUCUAAAGGAAUACGGUGCUUAAUUUGUAAUUUCUAAGUAGAGAGUGUGGAAACGUGUUUUUCCCUGGGAUGAUCAGUUGUUGGAAGGAUUUGAAGAACAUGUAGGAUCUUUUCUAACUCUUCCAUCCGCUGCUUAAUUCUGUCCAGGUUGAAUAAACUCAGUCUAAUUGCUGUUAUCAUUAUUUAUCUGUUUUUUCCCCCUCAUUUUCUUGAGGUUCAUAAUUGAUCUAGAAGAGAUGGCCUUUGUGUGAUUUCUUGGAGGAUUUUGGUUGGAAGGUUAAUAUGAUGGUAAUUGGUAAUCGGGGAACAGUUUGAAACGUUGGAGUAUAAGAUUCCAUGUUUCGUGAACUAGCAUACUUAACUUCUCAUAAUGCAUAGUUCUUAUCUUGAGGCUUUGAAACUUUUAAAGAAAACUAUGAUACUUAAAUUGAAUUUAAGACAUUGUUUUGGCAUUUCAAAUUUCCUUCACCACGAGAAACUAUAAGUGCUGAUGAAAACUCAGCAACUUGAAUAUUAUUGAUGAGAGAAUCCAGCUCAAGUAUUUGGAUUGUAUCUUCUUGCCCUUUAUGUUCUACAAAUUAAACUAUGGGUUUGUGCUUUCGUUUAUGCCUUUUGAUCAAUUUCAGUAUCAUAUUUGAAAGCCCUUAUGCUAAUUAAUUCCAGUUGAAUAUUAUAAUCUUCUUGCAGUUUCUUGGAUCAUCCUUUUAACGUAAUUAAUUCCAGUUAUGGUGAUAGGAAAUUUGUUUCCUAAGUUCUUAAAUGAUGGGUUUCUAAAUUCUGAAGUAGAGUUAAAUCUUUAAAAUACUUCCUUUCAGCUUCCUGUAGCUGUUGGGAGGCUCUUCAUGUACCUUGUGUCCUUACCUUAUCUGGUUCAUUGGUCCCUGAAGCGUGAUUGAAUGAACUGUUAAAUCUAUGCAUGUCCUCCCUGUAGCCUUUCUCCAUUGACUAUCCUGCCAAGUCUUCUAAGUUCUAUGGAAUUCUAUCCUGCCAAGUCUUCUAUGGAGUUCCAUCCAUUCAGUUCCGUCAUAAAGUCUCUUUGUUGUCCAUCAAGAAUUUUAAUCUUUUGAUUCUUUGUCUCAUUUUUCAACUUUCUGCACUUACCAUCAUACAGCCAAAAUCAUGCACAUCAUUAAAAUAUCGUGACAUGGCAUAGAGACGUAGUAUCAUGACCACAGUGGAGAUACUAUUGAUCCAUGCUGGUGACUCUGUUUUUAAACAGUAUAUUACAAGAAAGUUUUGAUUCUACCGUCUCCAUAACAUGUGGGCUUUGAGUGUUUUCCUUCAAUUCUGAAAAGUUAGUUAGCUCUUUUGUUAAGGUUCUGAAGAUUACUACCCUGAUAGAGAAUGACUUUAACUACCUCAGUUACCUCUUUUAAAUCAUUAGUAUCAAGGUUAACAUCUUCCAUCUAGCAUCUUCACCUAAAAGCAUUUACUCCUUCAGGAUGGAGAGCCUCUGGAUUCUAAGCUGAUGCGACACUUACAUUUAUGUGAAAUUUAUUGAUAUGCAUCUGGAUGGAUGUUAUUGGCCAAUUGAAUUUACAUACCACCCAUGAACAUCUGGAGUUAUAAUCUGUUGCUAAAUCAUAAUCCUUGUCUUCUUAUAGGCAAUCCGAACUGGCUGGGUUCAUCCAAAUAUCAAUCUUGAGAAUCCAGAUGAUGGUGUGGUAUGAAUUUUCGCAGUCCCUUAUUAAUUUUGUAUGGCAUCACUGAUAUAACAUAGCAUAUUCCUGUUUUUUGCCAGACAUUUUUUUGUGGGUAAAUAAAUGCAUAAAAAUAAAAAGUAUACAGUUGCAUACCCUGAGGGGUGUUUACUUUUGAGGAUUAGCCUAGAUAGAUAAAAAUAGGAAGGGUAAUCCAUUGUUUACUAAGAUGAAUUGCAGUUUUGAGAUAUCCCAAGGCCCUUGAUAAUUAUUAUCAUUUGAGCUAGGUUUGCAUGAUUCAUAUCCCAUUGAAAGAGUGAGAUUGGAUAAAUCCUAGUCUUGAGGAUAUAAAUACUCAAUCAUGCAUAGUAAACGCCCCUAAGGAGAGCAACUCAAAUGAGCAUGAGCAGGGGACGGAAAACCAAGAAAACUAACAACUUAGUGUUCGCCCCCCCCCCCCCCCCAACUCCCCACGUAGUGCAAACCUUAACCNGGGAAACCGAAACGAAACGUAAAUAACUUAGUGCGCGCCCCCCCCCCCCCCCCCCAAUCCCCCAGUAGUGCAAAACCUUACCAUUCAUUAUUUAUUUGAAAAAUAAGUUAUCUUAAUUCAUGACAUAUUUGAUCUCAGCUGGUUAUUUAAGUUAGAUGAGGAGCAUGUUGAGAAACUAAUUUUAUUUCCUAGUAUAGAGAAAUAUAGAUAGGGGAUACAUGACUGCAUUGCAACUAGAAAAUUGUCUUAAAUUUAUUUUUACCUUUUACUUUUAAUCAGAUUAACCCAAGAUUGUAUACAUGCUUAUUAACUGACUCAAGCUCACUAGUCAAUCCAUGCAUGCAAUGUUUACCAAUGGACAAGAAUGCACUUCCUUAUAUGUUAAUAAAGGUCACUCAUGAUUCAGGAUGCAAAUGUGCUAGUGGGGCCAACAAAAGAAAGACUCGACAUUAAAGUGGCAUUAUCUAAUUCGUUUGGGUUUGGUGGUCAUAACUCAUCGGUUUUGUUUGCUCCGUACAAGUAGAUUUUACUGUGCUUGUAUCUGGAUGAGAAUGAUGCAGAGGUACGUGUGUCUCAAGAUUUUACCGGGAAAAAGGCGCUCAACACAACUGUAAAGGCAUACUGCAUUUCUUUUCAGUGAUAUGCGAGGUACAUUCCUUAGUAAUUAGCAUCUCUUUCGAAGUUCGUUGCUGUGAUGUAUAUGCCUGUUAGAGGAGAGCAACCUUACUCUGUGUGCCAGGUGCAAGGUUUAGGUCAAUUCAUUGGCAGAGGCAGAGGUUGUGUUUGUGGAAUUAUAUUUCGUAUCGAGAGUAGUUUGCCUUGCUACUAAGAGGAUCAUCUUCCUACCCUCUCCACUGUUUUUGCUCAGCUUUUUUGUGCUAGAAUGGGAUUAAUGAAACUAGUGUUCAUAAAAUGAAGUGGAUUCGGAUUUUUUUUUUUUUUUAUUCUGAUACUCGUUUAGACCAUUUGGAUGCAGUUUAAUCAGAUAAACCCCUUUAUAAAGUCGAAGUAAAACCUGAGUUGCCAGUGUAACAUUAAAUUUCACUCUGAUUUGCUUCAACUGGGUAUAAGGUAUGAUAUAUUCCGAAUUUACAACGGUGUCGCAUUCGAGCUUGUAUGGAAGGUGGCAUACAAGAUAAGAAUUCGAGAUAGGGGUGAACAUUUGAAUUUCAGUUUGAUUUUUUGUUAAAACCAAAAUGAACUGAAUUUGUGAUUUAAAAAAACAAAAUAUUUAACCGAAUUGAUUAGUCCGAAAAUAUAAAUCGAAUUAUUCGAGACUUUAGAAUCAAAAUCGAACUGAUAGGAAAAACCAAAAAAACUUGAAAAGAUCGAACUUGAUAUUUUUCAUUUAAUGAUCUUAUUUUGGAAUUAGAAUUAAAUUAUUAUAUACUCCUACAUAAUUUGGAUUUUGGUUUUGAAAAUGUCAAAUCAAAGUAAAUUGAAUAAUCUGAAUUUUCAAAAAAUAAAACAAAAAAUCGAUCCUAUCCGAAAAUUCAAAAAAAUCAAAUCGAAUUUGAUAUUUUAAUUUGAUUUGAUUCAAUUAUUUGAAUUUUGACUCUUUUGUUUAGCUCCUAAUUUGAGACUGAAUAAUUUAGAUAUAUUAGAGCAUUCAUAUUGGUUGAGUCAGUUACUGACUCAUCCAUGCUCCGGGAUCACUUAUGAGUCAAGAUCUGCAUUGGUCUGACUCAUCAUGUUGGCUCAUAUAAAUUAGUUUUGAUUUUUGCAUUUUUCAUUUAAGUUAAAUGACACCAAUUUGUUGUUAAAAUUAAAAACUUCAUUAAUUUAAAAUACGGACAAUUAAAAUUUCAUAAAAUUAAAAAUACCUAAAUUAAAAUACAUAAUUUAAAAUUACAUAAACUUAAAACUAGAUUAAUUUUCGCCCCUUUGCCUCGCUAGAAUCGUAGCCACCCGUUGUCGAAGGAAUUCCAGUUGCUCGGGUAUCAUGUUCGACGUAUCCAUGAAUAUAAUACGGUCGCCAUGUAUCUCUCUCUUGAGAUGAUUCUUCGUCUCGUACUCUUCGACAAUUUUUUCGAGGGUGGAGCGCGUCUCACCCAUGAAUUCCACACACUCAGGAGGAGCUGCUGAGCCUUCCGACGCUUUGGCCUUUGCCGUUUUGUUACCUAUUGUCUGGGUAGACGAAAUUUCUUCGCUUGAGGUCGAGGUAGUGAAGUCGUUGCUCUCCUCCGUUUUUGUCCUCUUAGAGGAAUACACGUCUCCUUCAAAGUAAAAUGACUUGAACUUCUGAUUCACCCGAAAAAUUCUCCACGCGUUUCGCCACUUGAAUGGAAGAAGAGGUGGUGUGUUAUGUGAGGAUGCACAGGAAUCACAACCAAUUAAAGUUAAUAAAUAGUAAUUGAAGAUUAAUAAUAAAUUUUUAUUAUGUACGAGUCAUCUAUGUAUAUGAAACAAUAAAAUCAACUUAGUUGGUAAGAUAUAUUUGAUUAAUAAGUUGGGGGAUCGAGUCAUCUAGUGUACGCGAAUAUGAGUUUGUGUUAGCAUAUAUAAUUCUAAAAGAAAAAAGUAAAAAUAAAAAGAAAAAUCUACUUAUAUGGUUUUGAUUCUAAAUUCUAAAUUUGGAACAAAAUGGCAUUAACAGGAUAAAUAAAUUUCCUAUUUAGUCUAAUAUUCCAAAUCACUUUUUUUUUUGAAGCGAUAUUCCAAAUCACUUUAGUUGACACUGUUGUAAAUUUUCUUUUCAAAGAAAAAUCAUCUCAAAAUAAUAAAGUAUUAUUUGUAACUUUAACCACUUACUUUGGAUAAUGUAAACGAUAGCAUGCCUAUAAACACACGUUUUCCUAAAAGUUUUUAACUUUGGAAAAACAUAUUUCUCUCUCAAAAAAAAAAGAACAUAAGGAUGUCAAUCCAAUCCAAAAUUUGUGGUUGAUCCGAAUCGAAUAGAGCACAUCGAGAGAGUUAUGAUUGAAAAAAUUUAAUAGAAAAAGGUUCUAAUCCGAAUGAUCUAUAACUGGAUAGCCGGACAAUCCAAUAGGCUGGCCUAAAAAUAGCAUGAAUCUAAUAGGACUGACCUAAUAACGAGUGUGUUGGAUUAAUUAAAUAUAAUAAUUUUUUUUUCCAGAUAUUUGUGAAAUGUAUUUUGAUUCAAUAUUCAAAAUCUAAACCCAUUAUUUUACUUAUUUGUAUUUUUAGCCUAAUGCUUAACAUAAAAUGUUUAGAUAUAAGAAUUAGAAAACGAUAUACUACUCGUUUAAGAAAAAUGUGUAUUCUUAUCCCCCUAACAAUUACAAUAUUGUUUAUUAUGUAAGUCAUUUGUUAUAUAGAUAUCGAAUUAUCAAUAGAAAUAUAUUAAUUAAUUUUUAUAUAUAAAUUUUCGAGUCUGAUUGAACUGACGAAUUAACUUGAAAUUCAAAAAUUUAGAGUUAAAUUGAGAAUUUAGAGCAUGAAAAUUUUCCAUUCGAAUAACUCAUAAUUAUAAUCUAAUAAAAUUAACCCAAAACUCAAUAGAUUGACCUUAUUUACAUUCCUAACAUAACUGUAGCAGUCCCCAAGGGGACACCAAACGGUGCGACCUCAUGUGUAUGAAUAAUGAGGUCCCGGGUUCAAACCCCACUGCUCCCCCUCCCCAACCACCCCCAAGUCAAAAAAAAAAAAAACAUAAUUGUAGGUUGGUUGAGUAUUUUCUUCAUCAUCAAUGCUAAGCUCCAAUCUUACCUUUUCAAUAAGAUAUAAAUCAAGUAAAUUAGCUCAUCAAAUGAUAGAAAUUAUCGAGAGUUUUAGAUAUUUCAAAGUUUCAAUCCAUGUUAAUAAAUAAUCUUCCUAUUUUUAUUUCUCAAGACUAAUCCUUAAAAGUCAUACUUUUUAUACGCUAAUUAAUCUAAUUAGAGUUCAUAAUUUUGUUUUCUUAUUUGUAGUAAUAAAAAGGGUUAUUGGCGCCUAAAUACACCAAUUUUGGGGGUAAUUUGAUUUUGCACAUGAACUUUGAAAUGUGUAAAAAAAUACAUGGAUUUUAAUGUUGUAGCAAUUUUAUCACAAAUUCAAAUACUAGAUAUUCAAACUCCAUAAAAAUCUUAUGAUUUACGGGUUUAGAGAUGUCUUAUACGAUAUCUUUUAGAGAUGUCCUAUACGAUGUUAUUUUUUAAAACGUCGAUGAUACACGUCGAUAUUUGACUUGCCACGUCAGUUUAAUUUGAGAUAAAUUGAAUUUGUGACAUCGUAUUGGACCUCUAAAAGAUAUCGUAUAUACAUCUCUAAACUCGUAAAUCGUAAGAUUUUUAUGGAGUUCGAAUAUCUUAUAUUUGAAUUUGUGAUAAAAAUUUUACAACAUUAAAGUUCAUGUAUUUUUUUGCACCUUUCAAAGUUUAUGUGCAAAACCAAACUACCCCAAAGUUGGUGUAUUUAGGUGCUAAUAACCCUUAAAAUUCCAACAAUGUGUUCAUUAUGGUUUAAUAUUAGUAGCAUUAAACUCCUCAUGUGUGGGAGUGCAACAUAUGUAUGUCUAAAAUUGUACACAAUUGACUUUAAGGAAUGAAAUAUAUAUACUGAUGGGUACUUUCAUCUUAAAGAGUUUACAUUGAUGAAAAGAACAAAAUCUAAUUCUUGCCUAGAAAAAAAUAUUCCAAGAACAAAAUUUCAUUCUUGCCUAGAAAAAAUAUUCCAACUUAGCACAUUUAACUAAUUAAAUCCUAGAGGGAGUCACAAAGUCAUAUCUGAUGAUUUAAUAUACCCAUCCUAGUAAGUAGCAUGAAACUCCUCAUGCGCGAAAAAGUGUAGCAAUGCCAUGUUUAUAAUUGUGCGUAAUUGACUUUAAGGGAUGAAACAUAUCAUAGCAAGUUUUAUCUUAAUUAAAAGGGGUGUUUAAUUUGGUGGAUGGAAUAAAUAAAAUUGAUAGGAUUAAAGAAUGAUUAAAUAAUUCACCCAACUUUGAGAUAAUAAAUAAUUAUGUAAUUUGAUAAACUUCAGCUAAUUAAAGCAUUGCUCGAGUAACAAUUGCAUGGUGGCAUCCACCAUAAACUUCAGGAUACAUUUAGUUCAAGUUUCAGAAUUGCCUACACCAAAAAUAAAGAAAGAAAAAGCCUAAUCCAUCCCUGUUCUAUUAAAAAACAAAAAAAGAAAGCCUAAAAUGCUAAUCAAUCAGUAAUAAUCACAUUUAAAUGUUAGUUCACUAACUAUAACAAAACAAAUUUACAAAAAUAUUUACAGUAAAUCCAUCCCCCGGACUAAUUACAACAAACAAAAUUGUUAAUACAUCAAAGUCAAAACUCUCUCUCUCUCUCUCACUGAUUACAAAUUUACAAUACACAAAAAUUGGUAAGAACUCCAGGAAAAAGAAAAAAAAGUUCCCUCAACAAAAAUCACACCAUUUACAUUCAAAAUACAUGUUAAUCACCAAUGCACUCCGCAUUUCCUAUAACCUAUAAUCCCACUACCCAAAACAUGAAUUUCCCAUUAUCAAAUCCUCCUGAAUAAUUGCAAAAUAAUAACAAAAUAGUUUAAGGCCUCAUUUCCAGAUUCAUUUAAGUCAUAGUGCUAGUGAAGAAAAUUCCAGUCAGAUGUCGGUCACACUAGGUGGUAAAUGGAAGCAGAUGGAGAGGGGGCAGACAAAAUCGUUCAGUCCACAAAUGAUGUCCUGGUCUGUCUUUCAUUCCGUGUUUGGAAACUUUGGAUAAAUAGAAGGAUGAUGUUAUAUAAGAAAUGUUAAUCAAUUGUUCCAAACUUUCCAAACACAUAAUGGAUAGAACAACACACCAAUUGUAGACAAGAAAAUCUUGACUCGGGGGGAGGAAACUUCAUAUGUGCAUAUACUGUGCAGUGCAUGUAUUGCGCAUGUAUUUUGAGAAGAGAGACUUGUGAAAAUCAAGACCCUAAAUAUAGACAUCUUUCGACAAUGCCACAUAUGCAAAACUUGAGGUAAUGAAACAGUUAUUAAAAAAGAAACUAGAAUCUCCCAAGAAAAAAAAUUCUUCAAGUAACUUCUAAAAAAAAUGUAAAAGCUUUACCGUUUCCUUGAAAAUCCUUGUCAGGGCGUCUCCU